AUAAAAGCAAAGCAAGACAUGAGGGCGCUGGAGGAAGUUGGUCCGGCUCCGGCUAGCCAGCCAGCGCCAUUUUAUACUACUGUUACUGUUAUGUUGAUCUGUCCUAUGAAUUUGGAUGCUUGGUACUCCAUUUUACUACUGCUCUGUUCCGUGAUCUUCCACUAAUCUUCUACUGUACGUGAUUGUGGAACCCCGUCGUUUGGCGCGAUCCUAUUGUGUGUGUGGAAUCCUAAUGCUGAUCUUUAUAAGAUCUUUAGCAGAUGUUGAUCUCUUCUCUGUAGUUGCCUACCUAGCUAGCUAGCUCUCGAUCUUUAGCAGAUGUUGAUCUCCUAUGUAUGUGUGGAAACCUAAUUCAGGUAUUUUCAUGCUGUUUGAGAUGAGAAAAAUCUUAAUGUGCUCUCUGGGAGAAGGGAAGAGAAAGAGUAUGGAUUUCUCUCAUGCGUCAGGGAAAAGAAAAGUGUGCAUAGUCGCGGGUAUUCAGGUAUGUACGCACAUGAGCUUGCCGGCAGGCCGAGACAUCCGAAUACAUACGUACAAAGCUAGACUACUACAUCUAGCCUAUGUGCAUGUGGCCAGGACGUGUUACUUGCACCAAGAUUUUCAUGCACGUGCAUGUGCACGUACGUGGGCAGCUUGCCAUGCAUGCUUGUGCCACGCUAAAUGAAUCUUGCCUUUGUAUGUAUUAGAUCGGGAACGCGCCUUGGCGCAUGGUGCCUGGCUGAACGUGUUGUCCCAGCAUUUAAACAAAGCACGAUACUGUUGCUAGUUGGUAUGGGAUGUCAAAGUCAUGGCAUAAGGCAAGGCAAUCACAUUUUUCAAAUGCAAAGAAAACACGAGGAAUUUUGUCAGUACAAAAAUUCAUCUGGAAGUUCAUAGGAAAUGGAAAUAUAUACUUGUGCCAAAAGCGAGCAAGGUCGAUCAAUCCACAUCAAGUUUAGAUAGAUAGUGUACUUUUCAUACAAGAAAAGAAAGCCACAACAGCAGUGUGAGACAAAGAACAUAUAUAGUUCCACAAAAGAAUAUUUUUGGAUACAUUCACCUGAUCGUCUUGACAUUCGACCUUUUAUACGCCACAUCACAUGAACCUGCUAUGAGUAGUUUGUUUUGUCACUUGAAACAGAGAGUUAUGAACCUUGAAACAAACUUUUCAAAGUUUGUAUUAUCAAUAACGGCUACCUACACGUGGUGUCGAGACCGAAGACACAUAAGAGAUUUCUUUCAACCUUUGACCAACCCCAUAGUUAUUGUCGCUCUUCCGUCCACACCAUUCAGCAGACAGACUUGCCCCAUGGCACAUCCAUCACCCUGCCAACAUGACACAAUCCAGGUGACUUGCCACAUGGCGCAUCCAUCACCCUCCUUUCAUCAAACCAUGUUCUGUUAAAAGGAUAAAUUGGUUAGCAGUCAUACAGUCCUAUAACCCAUCAUACAAAUUACCUAAAUAGUGAUACCUUUGUGCUCAAUGAACAAUGCAGAAGACAUGAACAAUACAUGUGUUGGUUAAUAAUAAAAGGUGUGCUACCAACACACUUGAAAGGCAGAAGAUGUGAACAAUACAUAACAGGCCUUGAAAUAAAUCCAUUUAAGAAAAUUAUGACUACAAUUGAAUGGACAGAUUUAAUCUGCUCCCACAUGUAUGUAACCGUAACAUGUAGCUUGUAUGGAGAAGAAAAGAAAGCAGACCACAUGAUCUGAAGCAAAUGAACUGAAGAAAGCAGGUCACAUGAUCAUAUUCAGAGCACAAAUUAACAGAAAAGUAGGAAAGAUAGCAGAACAUAUGUUAGUAUGCUACAGAUCUGCGACCUCAAAACAACCCAUAAGAUGGUACUAAACAUGUUAGGACCCUCUUUUCCUUUUCUAAUUUUAUCCUUCCCCAACCAUGGCUUGAGGAUACCAUGGUUUUACAUGUACUUGAGGAUGCCUGUCAUUAUCUAAACUGAUCAUGUUUAAAGUCCCUAUCUGAUGUAGACUAAGCAGGAGAACACUGUAUGAACUUUACUACUGAUGAUAAGGUAUCAUGUACGAACUUUAAUGUUCUAAAGCCGAGAAUAUAACGUAUCAUGUAUGAACUUUAAUACUGAUGAUAUAUAGUGAAAACGAACAUGUGCGAGAUUACUGAAUAACCUGUCAAGAAUUGAUAUUUGCACAGAAAUAUGGAUUGAGAAAUCUGAAACCUGAGCAAGAAUGGUUUAACUACAAAUAUAUUCAAUCCUUAUUUGAAUUUAUGGCAAGUCAAGAAUCUAUUAUGGCAAAUCUUAGCAUCGUAUCCUUUUCUGUGAGCACUCAUUAAUUGGAAUAAUGAAAAGGAGGUGCACUUAAUCCAAAUCCACAUGAAUGUUUGCCUUUGUAUGAUGGUAGAGCCUUAAAUUCGCAAACUUAAAAUACGAAAGGAUGAAACAAUUAGCACCAAGAAUUGGUCAGGUUGUACAAUGACAUUUUUCGAAACCAAAUGCUAACACAAAGUCAAUUACUGCAUAAAAGAGAGAUAGCUUCUAGAAAUCAUACACGCCAAUUUCACGGUUCAGUAGAAAAGAAACACUACAAAGUAAAAAAGCAAGGAGCAAGCAUUCAGUGCAGAAAAAAGACAAUAAAAAUUGCAGGGUAAGAGGCUCACCUUGUUGCUGUAGGUUGACUUUGCUUGGGGAGGUAGUAGCUGCAGGAUCGUAGGAGGAGGCUGAAGCGAGCUCGAGUCGGUCGGUGGCAGCCGGCCACAAUAUUUUGUCGUUUUCAUGCCUGGAACACUACAACAUCAUGUGAAUGUAAAUGAAAAGUAACAUUUGUGACAGUGGUGACCUGCAAGCCACGAUGAUGAGAGGAGAAACAGUCUAGGCAACGACCUCUCCCUACUUGCGUCGCUGCUCCAAUCCAAGACAUAAACAAACCUGGCAAGAGAUCCAAAACAUGAAAUGAGCUCUCCGUCAAAUCAUGAAACAAGAGAAGCAGCCCCAGUAGGUCUACAGGUGCAGCGGCAAGAAGAUUUUAUGCAUAUGCAGACACACCAGAUAUCCCUGCAUUACGAAAAAAUAGUGGUUAAUGGAUGGACAUAUUACCAGCCUACCAGACAACAUAUAUCUUUUUUCAGUUUGACAUAGAAGUACAUUUCUAGAGAAGAGAGAUGUUCUAUAUACUACCUCUAGAGCUCACCAAGUAUAGCGAUGAUAGUCUGGGUCCGGGACGACCGUUUCUCUGGUGGUCUUCUCUGUUGUAUCUCUCCCAAACUGUGAAGAAGGGAAGGACAAAAUAGGUUACGAGUACAAGAUUGAAAGUAGAGUAUACUACGGAGGUAGUACUUCACAAAGAUGUUUGUGAGCUAACGAGAGAUACUAUUGGUGUGGUUCGCUGGUGCUUCCGGCCAUGUCUCCUCGUACCAGCAAAACAAGAAAAGCCUAAAUGUCCCCUUCCUUGGAACCUAGCUAGACUAAAAGCAACAAAACACAAAUACUCCACCAAGGGAGAAGCACCAAUUGCAGGCACUACCAGACCAGACAAAGAGGAAAGACCUUUGGCCUUUACCAGAUGCAGGACAAACAACAAAUGGCCCAUGCUGGCCAAACACACAACACUUGGCCAUGCCGCCGUAUACCUAGCACUCUAAUACGAGAGGACAAAAGGAGGAGAAGAAGAGGGGUUAACCUCAGAUCCAUGAACGAAGACGCAACCGGGUCAGAUCAAAGGAGGCAUCGGCAACACCCGACGAAUCUGCGAGGAAAACAAGGGGAAAUCAGAGGUGAGGAGAAGCUAGCAGCCAACAAGAGCACAUACAUACACAUAUACCUGCAAAUCGAUGACCACAACAGCAGAUCGACAGAGACCUGCAUGCAAACAAGAUCACAAAUCAACUAAGAACAACGUGGAAAACUAACACGCGAAGAGGAAAGGCAGCUCACCUCGACCGACCCCACCUUGCUUCGCCGCUCCCUCCUGCGCGCGUCCUACCUCACUCACGAGGGCCGGCGCCGAGCCGCGCUUUUCCUGAUGAGCACCAAGGGGGCGUGGAGGAGGAAACGGCCCGACAACGCGAGGGCGAGCAGAGGCGGAGGCGGCGGCGCGAGGGCGAGCAGAGGCAGAGGCGGUGGCGGCGGCGCGAGGGCAAGCAGAGGCGGAGGCGGCGGCGCGAGGAUGAGCAGAGGCGGAGGCGAGAGGGCGAGCGUGCGAGCGUGGGUUCACAGAGGAGAUCGAGACAGGGAGAGGAGGAGGUGGGAACCGGACGAAUGAGAGGACGAAAGGAUGGGCCGCCACCCUCCCCCACCCCAUAGCCGCACGACACGCAUCCCCUGGAAGCGAAAAAGACCAAAAUACCCUUGGCGGGGGCAGGAUAUAACGUGCGGUGGCAACGAGAUCUUUUACCGCUGGAGCGUGCCGACGGGCUGCCCGGACGUGCCAUAGCCACAGAGAAUGUGUCACGCCCAAUAUGCGACCCUAUCCAAAAGGAACUCGAACGUCCCACCAAGGAUAGACCCGCAUAUUGAAACGCUUUUGCAAGGUGGAUAUCAUUACAUCAACAUUACAUAAUAGAUGGGGAUACAUACAUAAGGCAUACAAUGCCACACGAAUACAACAUCACAAUACAAAAGAGCACCAUCCGACUACGGAUGAAAUACAAACUCAAACGACAUCCACCCUGCUAGCCCAGGCUACUGACCUGGAACCUAUCCACUGAUCGAACAAGAAGCAGAAGAAGAACUCGAAAACAAGCAAAUAUCGCUCUCGCGUCAUGAUCAUCGCAUAACCUGUAUCUGCAAUUGUUGUUGUAGUAAUCUGUGAGCCACGAGGACUCAGCAAUCCCAUUAUCAUGGGUAUUAAGACUAGCAAAGCUUAAAAGGAAAGGAAGGAGUAAAGUGGUGAGGUUGCAGCAGCGACUAAGCAUAUAUGGUGGCUAACAUAUGCAAAUAAGAGCGAGAAGAGAGCAAAAGAAACGGUCGUGAAACUAGCAAUGAUCAAGAAGUGAUCAUGAACUCCUACUUACGUCAAACAUAACCCAGAAACCGUGUUCACUUCCCGGACUCCGCCGAAAAGAGACCAUCACGGCUACACACACGGUUGAUGCGUUUUAAUUCGGAUCUGGUGUCAAGUUAUCUACAACCGGACAUUAACAAAUUCCCAUCUGCCUAUAACCGCAGGCACGGCUUUCGAAAGAUUAUAGCCUGCAGGGGUGUCCCAACUUAGCCCAUGAUAAGCUCUCGCGAUCAACGAAGGAUAUACCUUCUCCCAGGAAGACCCGAUCAGACUCGGAAUCCCGGUUUACAAGACUUUUCGACAAUGGUAAAACAAAACCAGCAAAGCCGCCCGAUGCGCCGACAAAUCCCGAUAGGAGCUGCACAUAUCUCGUUCUCAGGGAAACACCGGAUGAGACUAGCUACGAGUAAAACCAACCCUCAAGUUGCCCCGAGGUGGCCCCGCAGGCAGCUCAGUUCGGACCAACACUUAGACAAGCACUGGCCCGGGGGGGCUAAAAUAAAGAUGACCCUCGGGUUGGCCGACCCAAGGGAAAGGUAUCGGUGGUGGUGAAGCAAAUGGUAAAACCAAGGUUGGGCCUUGCUGGAGGAGUUUUAUUCAAAGCGAACUAUCAAGGGGGUCCCAUAAAUCACCCAACCGCGUAAGGAACGCAAAAUCCGGGAACAUAACACCGGUAUGACGGAAACUAGGGCGGCAAGAGUGGAACAAAACACCAGACAUAAGGCCGAGUCUUCCACCCUUUACCAAGUAUAUAGAUGCAUUAAUAAUAUAAGAGAUAUUGUGAUAUCCCCAACCAAAAUCCUGUCCACCAUGGAGCAAUCUUCAACUUCACCUGCAACUAGCAACGCUAUAAGAGGGCCGAGCAAAGCGGUAACAUAGCGAAGCAACGGUUUGCAUAGGAAAGGUGUCAAAGGUUAGAGGUUCAUGGCAAUAUGGGAGGCUUGAUGAGCAAAAGAUAGGUAACGCAGCAUAGCGAUAGAACGAAGCAACUAGCAUAGCAAUGAUAGUAGUGAGAUCCAGGGUAGCGGUCAUCUUGCCUGAAAUCCCGCAAGGAAGAAGAACGAGUCCAUGAAGAAGAUGAAGCCACGAAGACGAACCAAGCAUAGACGAACGAAUCCUCACGAUCGCAACGAAACGGGAACUAUCGAGAAGAAGCACACAACAUAGUAAACACACCACACAUAUACAAGAGAUGAUGCACAAACAAGUAUGAUGCAUGACAAGGCUACAUGAAGCUACUCAUGGCAAGAGAUGAUGCAAACAAGAGCAACACAUCAAGGCAAGUUUAAAUGAUGCCGGGAACAACAUAUAACAAUUCCGGUAAGUCCUCAUAUGCAUAUUUCGAAAUUGGUCCAUAUCUGAAUAAAUCUUAUGUUCAAGUUGUUAAACAGCAAGUUAAGAUGCACAAAGAUGAUCUACACGAGAUUCUAGUCAAGUUACAUAUAAAGUUCAUUUAGUUCGGAGCUACGACCUAGAAGAUAUGAGCAAAACAAGUUAAACAUGGCAUUGAUGCAAAAUGCAUACAAACAUUAAGCAAACACCUCAAAACAUGGAUGCAACAUGAUAAUAUGAAGCUACAUGCAAUUCUAAGCAAGUUUCAUAUAGAGCACACUCAAAACGGAGCAACGGUUCAACACACACACACUAUACGUCAUAGCAACAAUCUGUCCAAAACAGCAACUAGGCAUAUUGCAAGCAUCAAAACAACAUGCUACAAUACCCCAACAUGAGAACAAAAGGCAUGGACAUAAUGUACAGGUAAAGCAUAACAAAACAUGAACACUGAGCUAUCUCCAGAAAUCACUAUAACAUGCUCAAACACACAUGGCAAGAUUGCAAAUAAUAACAGUUCAGACUUUGCAGAAAAUAACAUCAGGUUGCAAUGUUUAGAGCUAUUAAACAACAUGUUACAGGAACUUAUCAUGGCAAACAAAGGCAUGGCAUGAAUCUACUAAAUGUAUAGAACAAAAGUCCCUAACUGACCAUGAGCCAAAAAGGAUCAGAAAAUAUGAUGCCACCCACGUAAACAUGGCAAGUUAUAAUACAGAUUCAUACAUGGCAGAAACAGAAUUAUGAAGGCAUGUUGAUGAGCUUGUGCAACUCUCUACAGGGUAAAACAUGGCAUGGCAAGGCAACCAACAGUAAGAAGACAUGAUUAUGAAGCUAAGAAUGGCAAUAGCAAGUCCAUAGGGUGCAUGGAACACUAGCAACAAUCAUGGCAACAACUGAACUCAAUGUUAACAGGCUGACGGCAACAUUAUUUAGCAACUUUGGAGCAAGAUAUGAACAACUACAACAAGCUAUAAAUGCAACCAGGGGCAUGAAUGGAUAGAGCAUGACAUGUAGAACAAAACACAAUUAGUGAACAUCUCCAGAUUAUGCAUAGAAUGACUAGUAGCAGCAGGUUUACAUAGCAUCACGAAAUAACAGAUUCAGCCUAGCAAAACAGUAACAGCAAGUACCCUACUUAACAAGCUUGAAUCACUCACCACAAGUCAUUGCAUGACAAGAUAAGUAUAGCAUCAGCAAGAAGACAUGUUUAUGAAACAAACCAAGUCAAGAACAAGUCCAUAGUAUGCAAGGAUCAACUACAACAACCUUGGAAAAAUUGAAUAACAUGUAAACAAUCCGCCAGGAAACAUUUUGGGGCAAAAGUAGAGCACGAAAAUGACAUGAUAGGCUACUCCAUAAUUGCAAAUAGGGGCAUGAGCGGCUAGAUAAUAACCAUAUGUUCAAAACAUCCUUAUUGAAGUAUCUCAAAAUAUGCAUGGAUCUCUCUAUAGCAUCAGGUUUACAUGGCAUCAAAAUAACAGCAGAACAGGGACUAAAAUCAGCAAUAUCACGAAGCCUAGUUUGCAUGCUUGUGCUAUUCAUCACAUUGAUCACAAAAAUACAUGGUAAGCACCUCUGUAAAGAUGGCAUGGUAUAGUUCAAAACACAUGUAGACAUCAACCUCAUAGGAUGCACACAUCAAACAUGGCAAAAAUGACAAAUGAGUAUGUUAUAACAGUUUCAGCAGAUUAACAUCAUGAAGCACUCUCGCAACGAUGAUUCAGGUAUCAAGAUGAGCUCAAAUGAACAUGAUGCAAUGGAAUGAGAUGAAGUACUCCUUAAGACGAACAAUUUGACCUAUUACAUGCGCAANNNNNNNNNNNNNNNNNNNNNNNNNNNNNNNNNNNNNNNNNNNNNNNNNNNNNNNNNNNNNNNNNNNNNNNNNNNNNNNNNNNNNNNNNNNNNNNNNNNNNNNNNNNNNNNNNNNNNNNNNNNNNNNNNNNNNNNNNNNNNNNNNNNNNNNNNNNNNNNNNNNNNNNNNNNNNNNNNNNNNNNNNNNNNNNNNNNNNNNNNNNNNNNNNNNNNNNNNNNNNNNNNNNNNNNNNNNNNNNNNNNNNNNNNNNNNNNNNNNNNNNNNNNNNNNNNNNNNNNNNNNNNNNNNNNNNNNNNNNNNNNNNNNNNNNNNNNNNNNNNNNNNNNNNNNNNNNNNNNNNNNNNNNNNNNNNNNNNNNNNNNNNNNNNNNNNNNNNNNNNNNNNNNNNNNNNNNNNNNNNNNNNNNNNNNNNNNNNNNNNNNNNNNNNNNNNNNNNNNNNNNNNNNNNNNNNNNNNNNNNNNNNNNNNNNNNNNNNNNNNNNNNNNNNNNNNNNNNNNNNNNNNNNNNNNNNNNNNNNNNNNNNNNNNNNNNNNNNNNNNNNNNNNNNNNNNNNNNNNNNNNNNNNNNNNNNNNNNNNNNNNNNNNNNNNNNNNNNNNNNNNNNNNNNNNNNNNNNNNNNNNNNNNNNNGGCCAGCGAUGGCGGAGAGGCGGGGCGGCGGCGCGCGGGCUCAUGCAGGCCGGAUCUGGGCCCCGCGGGCCGCGCGGUGGAGACGGGGGCGGGGGCGAAUCGGAAGGCGGCACGUGGCGGCGGCGAGGGGGCUGGAAAUGUCCGGCGGCGGAGCGGACAUGUCCGGUGCGGUGAGGGAGGAGACGGCUAGGGUUUCGGGGGGGAUUUGAUCCGCGAAUUUGGACGGGGAGGGCAUAUUUAUAGAUUUUGGGAGCUAGGAGAGUCCAAAUGAGGAGCGGUUUUCGGCCACGCGAUCGUGAUCAAACGACCGAGAGCAUGGAGGGGAGUUAGAUGGGUUUUGGGCCAGUUUGGAGGGGUGUUGGGCUGCAAAGAGAAAGGGGGUUUUGGGUUACGCGGUUAACCGUUGGAGUAUCAAACAGACUCCAAAUGGCAUGAAACUUGACAGGCGGUCUACCGGUGGUGUACCAAGGCCACUUGGCAAGCCUCGGGAUAUUCCGAGAAAGUUUAACACCCACUCACAACAAGAGACAAAAGGGGAACGCCGGAGGGCAUAGGAGUGCCGGGUUGCAAAACAGACAACGGGGAAAAGGCUUGGAUGCAUGAGACGAACACGUAUGCAAUGCAAUUCAAUGCACAUGAUGACAUGAUAAAAUGCAACACGCAAGCAAAUGACAUGGCAAAGAAGGUGAAAAACUGGCAGACACCUGGCGCAUGGAAUUCGGGGCGUUACAACACUCCUCCACUAACAAGAGAUCUCGUCCUGAGAUCUUAGGACCGAGACGGAAGGGAAAAAGGAUAUGGUGAAACAAGAACUCAAGAGAAGAAGCAAAGAAUCGCGAGCACACGAGAAGAAGAGAUGAAUGACGAGAAUGACGAGAAUCGAAAGCUCACGGAAUCAGAUCGACUAAGAAACCACUCCGGUUAAAACGAGAUAAGAAACGAAUAAGACUGAAAGGAUUUAGGCAGCACUCCGGCUGAAAAUGGAAGGAAAAGAACACGAGCUUGAGAGGACGGAAUGAUACUUGAUGAAGACAUGACACAAAAACUCCGAAAAGAAUUAAAAGAGUUGAAUGAAAAGAACGGAGAAGAAAAUGACAACUUGUCCCACGAAUGAAAUAGAAAGCAACCUUAGAAGAAAAGAUUGAAUGGAGUUGUUGAGAAAAUUCAACAACGAAAAGAAUAAGCUUGUCAUGGACUUAUGGAUAACAUCUCAGAAAUUAUGAGGUGAUAACCAGCCGCAAACAGAAAUGAUUGGAUAGCUGAGAAGAACGAAGAAAUGCAAAACUCCACUUCAAAAGAAUACGGAGAAUUAAUUGCACUUGAGAUGCAAGAAGGAAGAUACUAGAAUUUCUCCAACAAAGAACCUUGAUGAACUCUUGAAGAAUGAGUUAACUCAUGAAGAACCACCAUAAAGAACUCUGGUAACAAAAGNNNNNNNNNNNNNNNNNNNNNNNNNNNNNNNNNNNNNNNNNNNNNNNNNNNNNNNNNNNNNNNNNNNNNNNNNNNNNNNNNNNNNNNNNNNNNNNNNNNNNNNNNNNNNNNNNNNNNNNNNNNNNNNNNNNNNNNNNNNNNNNNNNNNNNNNNNNNNNNNNNNNNNNNNNNNNNNNNNNNNNNNNNNNNNNNNNNNNNNNNNNNNNNNNNNNNNNNNNNNNNNNNNNNNNNNNNNNNNNNNNNNNNNNNNNNNNNNNNNNNNNNNNNNNNNNNNNNNNNNNNNNNNNNNNNNNNNNNNNNNNNNNNNNNNNNNNNNNNNNNNNNNNNNNNNNNNNNNNNNNNNNNNNNNNNNNNNNNNNNNNNNNNNNNNNNNNNNNNNNNNNNNNNNNNNNNNNNNNNNNNNNNNNNNNNNNNNNNNNNNNNNNNNNNNNNNNNNNNNNNNNNNNNNNNNNNNNNNNNNNNNNNNNNNNNNNNNNNNNNNNNNNNNNNNNNNNNNNNNNNNNNNNNNNNNNNNNNNNNNNNNNNNNNNNNNNNNNNNNNNNNNNNNNNNNNNNNNNNNNNNNNNNNNNNNNNNNNNNNNNNNNNNNNNNNNNNNNNNNNNNNNNNNNNNNNNNNNNNNNNNNNNNNNNNNNNNNNNNNNNNNNNNNNNNNNNNNNNNNNNNNNNNNNNNNNNNNNNNNNNNNNNNNNNNNNNNNNNNNNNNNNNNNNNNNNNNNNNNNNNNNNNNNNNNNNNNNNNNNNNNNNNNNNNNNNNNNNNNNNNNNNNNNNNNNNNNNNNNNNNNNNNNNNNNNNNNNNNNNNNNNNNNNNNNNNNNNNNNNNNNNNNNNNNNNNNNNNNNNNNNNNNNNNNNNNNNNNNNNNNNNNNNNNNNNNNNNNNNNNNNNNNNNNNNNNNNNNNNNNNNNNNNNCACGAAUGAGAUAGAUGGUCGAGAGAGAGUCAGACUUCGGGAAGAAGAGGGUGGGAGGGCGGGAAAACAAAAGCAACUUGAAACGGGAAAUCGAUGAAUAUCUUGAAGAGAAAACACCGGUUGAAAACAUUGAGGCAAGAAAACAAAGACUUCACACGAGUAGGAUGGAUACUCGAAUAUGGACUCCGGUUCCGAGAAGGAAAAGGGGUGGGUGGGUGGGAAAGAAAACAACUGAGGAUUGAACUCAAUGAUGAAGAGGCUCGAGUCGACUUGACGAGAAAUGCACCGGAUGAAAAGAGCUGAGAACCAACGAUCGAAAAAACCAACUGCGUGAUCCUAAAAAAAAUUUUGAAGGGAAGAGGAGUAAUUCAAAACACCUACAUCAAGAUUCCUUACCAGAGCGACGAAGGGGCUGGGGAGUAAAAAGAAUUCCUACUCUCCGAUAUAACUAGACUCCGAAAACAGUUUUCUUCUAGACUCAACAACGGCCAAACUACAUGAUCAAUCAAGGGGGGUCCUAGGGUCGGUCGAGGCUCUAAUACCAACUUGUCACGCCCAAUAUGUGACCCUAUCCAAAAGGAACUCGAAGGUCCCACCAAGGAUAGACCCGCAUAUUGAAACGCUUUUGCAAGGUGGAUAUCAUUACAUCAACAUUACAUAAUAGAUGGGGAUACAUACAUAAGGCAUACAAUGCCACACGAAUACAACAUCACAAUACAAAAGAGCACCAUCCGACUACGGAUGAAAUACAAACUCAAACGACAUCCACCUUGCUAGCCCAGGCUACUGACCUGGAACCUAUCCACUGAUCGAACAAGAAGCAGAAGAAGAACUCGAAAACAAGCAAAUAUCGCUCUCGCGUCAUGAUCAUCGCAUAACCUGUACCUGCAACUGUUGUUGUAGUAAUCUGUGAGCCACGAGGACUCAGCAAUCCCAUUAUCAUGGGUAUUAAGACUAGCAAAGCUUAAAAGGAAAGGAAGGGGUAAAGUGGUGAGGUUGCAGCAGCGACUAAGCAUAUAUGGUGGCUAACAUAUGCAAAUAAGAGCGAGAAGAGAGCAAAAGGAACGGUCGUGAAACUAGCAAUGAUCAAGAAGUGAUCCUGAACUCCUACUUACGUCAAACAUAACCCAGAAACCGUGUUCACUUCCCGGACUCCGCCGAAAAGAGACCAUCACGGCUACACACACGGUUGAUGCGUUUUAAUUCGGAUCUGGUGUCAAGUUAUCUACAACCGGACAUUAACAAAUUCCCAUCUGCCUAUAACCGCAGGCACGGCUUUCGAAAGAUUAUAGCCUGCAGGGGUGUCCCAACUUAGCCCAUGAUAAGCUCUCGCGAUCAACGAAGGAUAUACCUUCUCCCAGGAAGACCCGAUCAGACUCGGAAUCCCGGUUUACAAGACUUUUCGACAAUGGUAAAACAAAACCAGCAAAGCCGCCCGAUGCGCCGACAAAUCCCGAUAGGAGCUGCACAUAUCUCGUUCUCAGGGAAACACCGGAUGAGACUAGCUACGAGUAAAACCAACCCUCAAGUUGCCCCGAGGUGGCCCCGCAGGCAGCUCAGUUCGGACCAACACUUAGACAAGCACUGGCCCGGGGGGGCUAAAAUAAAGAUGACCCUCGGGUUGGCCGACCCAAGGGAAAGGUAUCGGUGGUGGUGAAGCAAAUGGUAAAACCAAGGUUGGGCCUUGCUGGAGGAGUUUUAUUCAAAGCGAACUAUCAAGGGGGUCCCAUAAAUCACCCAACCGCGUAAGGAACGCAAAAUCCGGGAGCAUAACACCGGUAUGACGGAAACUAGGGCGGCAAGAGUGGAACAAAACACCAGACAUAAGGCCGAGUCUUCCACCCUUUACCAAGUAUAUAGAUGCAUUAAUAAUAUAAGAGAUAUUGUGAUAUCCCCAACCAAAAUCCUGUCCACCAUGGAGCAAUCUUCAACUUCACCUGCAACUAGCAACGCUAUAAGAGGGCCGAGCAAAGCGGUAACAUAGCGAAGCAACGGUUUGCAUAGGAAAGGUGUCAAAGGUUAGAGGUUCAUGGCAAUAUGGGAGGCUUGAUGAGCAAAAGAUAGGUAACGCAGCAUAGCGAUAGAACGAAGCAACUAGCAUAGCAAUGAUAGUAGUGAGAUCCAGGAUAGCGGUCAUCUUGCCUGAAAUCCCGCAAGGAAGAAGAACGAGUCCAUGAAGAAGAUGAAGCCACGAAGACGAACCAAGCAUAGACGAACGAAUCCUCACGAUCGCAACGAAACGGGAACUAUCGAGAAGAAGCACACAACAUAGUAAACACACCACACAUAUACAAGAGAUGAUGCACAAACAAGUAUGAUGCAUGACAAGGCUACAUGAAGCUACUCAUGGCAAGAGAUGAUGCAAACAAGAGCAACACAUCAAGGCAAGUUUAAAUGAUGCCGGGAACAACAUAUAACAAUUCCGGUAAGUCCUCAUAUGCAUAUUUCGAAAUUGGUCCAUAUCUGAAUAAAUCUUAUGUUCAAGUUGUUAAACAGCAAGUUAAGAUGCACAAAGAUGAUCUACACGAGAUUCUAGUCAAGUUACAUAUAAAGUUCAUUUAGUUCGGAGCUACGACCUAGAAGAUAUGAGCAAAACAAGUUAAACAUGGCAUUGAUGCAAAAUGCAUACAAACAUCAAGCAAACACCUCAAAACAUGGAUGCAACAUGAUAAUAUGAAGCUACAUGCAAUUCUAAGCAAGUUUCAUAUAGAGCACACUCAAAACGGAGCAACGGUUCAACACACACACACUAUACGUCAUAGCAACAAUCUGUCCAAAACAGCAACUAGGCAUAUUGCAAGCAUCAAAACAACAUGCUACAACACCCCAACAUGAGAACAAAAGGCAUGGACAUAAUGUACAGGUAAAGCAUAACAAAACAUGAACACUGAGCUAUCUCCAGAAAUCACUAUAACAUGCUCAAACACACAUGGCAAGAUUGCAAAUAAUAACAGUUCAGACUUUGCAGAAAAUAACAUCAGGUUGCAAUGUUUAGAGCUAUUAAACAACAUGUUACAGGAACUUAUCAUGGCAAACAAAGGCAUGGCAUGAAUCUACUAAAUGUAUAGAACAAAAGACCCUUACUGACCAUGAGCCAAAAAGGAUCAGAAAAUAUGAUGCCACCCACGUAAACAUGGCAAGUUAUAAUACAGAUUCAUACAUGGCAGAAACAGAAUUAUGAAGGCAUGUUGAUGAGCUUGUGCAACUCUCUACAGGGUAAAACAUGGCAUGGCAAGGCAACCAACAGUAAGAAGACAUGAUUAUGAAGCUAAGAAUGGCAAUAGCAAGUCCAUAGGGUGCAUGGAACACUAGCAACAAUCAUGGCAACAACUGAACUCAAUGUUAACAGGCUGACGGCAACAUUAUUUAGCAACUUUGGAGCAAGAUAUGAACAACUACAACAAGCUAUAAAUGCAACCAGGGGCAUGAAUGGAUAGAGCAUGACAUGUAGAACAAAACACAAUUAGUGAACAUCUCCAGAUUAUGCAUAGAAUGACUAGUAGCAGCAGGUUUACAUAGCAUCACGAAAUAACAGAUUCAGCCUAGCAAAACAGUAACAGCAAGUACCCUACUUAACAAGCUUGAAUCACUCACCACAAGUCAUUGCAUGACAAGAUAAGUAUAGCAUCAGCAAGAAGACAUGUUUAUGAAACAAACCAAGUCAAGAACAAGUCCAUAGUAUGCAAGGAUCAACUACAACAACCUUGGAAAAAUUGAAUAACAUGUAAACAAUCCGCCAGGAAACAUUUUGGGGCAAAAGUAGAGCACGAAAAUGACAUGAUAGGCUACUCCAUAAUUGCAAAUAGGGGCAUGAGCGGCUAGAUAAUAACCAUAUGUUCAAAACAUCCUUAUUGAAGUAUCUCAAAAUAUGCAUGGAUCUCUCUAUAGCAUCAGGUUUACAUGGCAUCAAAAUAACAGCAGAACAGGGACUAAAAUCAGCAAUAUCACGAAGCCUAGUUUGCAUGCUUGUGCUAUUCAUCACAUUGAUCACAAAAAUACAUGGUAAGCACCUCUGUAAAGAUGGCAUGGUAUAGUUCAAAACACAUGUAGACAUCAACCUCAUAGGAUGCACACAUCAAACAUGGCAAAAAUGACAAAUGAGUAUGUUAUAACAGUUUCAGCAGAUUAACAUCAUGAAGCACUCUCGCAACGAUGAUUCAGGUAUCAAGAUGAGCUCAAAUGAACAUGAUGCAAUGGAAUGAGAUGAAGUACUCCUUAAGACGAACAAUUUGACCUAUUACAUGCGCAANNNNNNNNNNNNNNNNNNNNNNNNNNNNNNNNNNNNNNNNNNNNNNNNNNNNNNNNNNNNNNNNNNNNNNNNNNNNNNNNNNNNNNNNNNNNNNNNNNNNNNNNNNNNNNNNNNNNNNNNNNNNNNNNNNNNNNNNNNNNNNNNNNNNNNNNNNNNNNNNNNNNNNNNNNNNNNNNNNNNNNNNNNNNNNNNNNNNNNNNNNNNNNNNNNNNNNNNNNNNNNNNNNNNNNNNNNNNNNNNNNNNNNNNNNNNNNNNNNNNNNNNNNNNNNNNNNNNNNNNNNNNNNNNNNNNNNNNNNNNNNNNNNNNNNNNNNNNNNNNNNNNNNNNNNNNNNNNNNNNNNNNNNNNNNNNNNNNNNNNNNNNNNNNNNNNNNNNNNNNNNNNNNNNNNNNNNNNNNNNNNNNNNNNNNNNNNNNNNNNNNNNNNNNNNNNNNNNNNNNNNNNNNNNNNNNNNNNNNNNNNNNNNNNNNNNNNNNNNNNNNNNNNNNNNNNNNNNNNNNNNNNNNNNNNNNNNNNNNNNNNNNNNNNNNNNNNNNNNNNNNNNNNNNNNNNNNNNNNNNNNNNNNNNNNNNNNNNNNNNNNNNNNNNNNNNNNNNNNNNNNNNNNNNNNNNNNNNNNNNNNNNNNNNNNNNNNNNNNNNNNNNNNNNNNNNNNNNNNNNNNNNNNNNNNNGCGCAGGGCCGCGGCCAGCGAUGGCGGAGAGGCGGGGCGGCGGCGCGCGGGCUCAUGCAGGCCGGAUCUGGGCCCCGCGGGCCGCGCGGUGGAGACGGGGGCGGGGGCGAAUCGGAAGGCGGCACGUGGCGGCGGCGAGGGGGCUGGACAUGUCCGGCAGCGGAGCGGACAUGUCCGGUGCGGUGAGGGAGGAGACGGCUAGGGUUUCGGGGGGGAUUUGAUCCGCGAAUUUGGACGGGGAGGGCAUAUUUAUAGAUUUUGGGAGCUAGGAGAGUCCAAAUGAGGAGCGGUUUUCGGCCACGCGAUCGUGAUCAAACGACCGAGAGCAUGGAGGGGAGUUAGAUGGGUUUUGGGCCAGUUUGGAGGGGUGUUGGGCUGCAAAGAGAAAGGGGGUUUUGGGUUACGCGGUUAACCGUUGGAGUAUCAAACAGACUCCAAAUGGCAUGAAACUUGACAGGCGGUCUACCGGUGGUGUACCAAGGCCACUUGGCAAGCCUCGGGAUAUUCCGAGAAAGUUUAACACCCGCUCACAACAAGAGACAAAAGGGGAACGCCGGAGGGCAUAGGAGUGCCGGGUUGCAAAACAGACAACGGGGAAAAGGCUUGGAUGCAUGAGACGAACACGUAUGCAAUGCAAUUCAAUGCACAUGAUGACAUGAUAAAAUGCAACACGCAAGCAAAUGACAUGGCAAAGAAGGUGAAAAACUGGCAGACACCUGGCGCAUCGAAUUCGGGGCGUUACAACACUCCUCCACUAACAAGAGAUCUCGUCCUGAGAUCUUAGGACCGAGACGGAAGGGAAAAAGGAUAUGGUGAAACAAGAACUCAAGAGAAGAAGCAAAGAAUCGCGAGCACACGAGAAGAAGAGAUGAAUGACGAGAAUGACGAGAAUCGAAAGCUCACGGAAUCAGAUCGACUAAGAAACCACUCCGGUUAAAACGAGAUAAGAAACGAAUAAGACUGAAAGGAUUUAGGCAGCACUCCGGCUGAAAAUGGAAGGAAAAGAACACGAGCUUGAGAGGACGGAAUGAUACUUGAUGAAGACAUGACACAAAAACUCCGAAAAGAAUUAAAAGAGUUGAAUGAAAAGAACGGAGAAGAAAAUGACAACUUGUCCCACGAAUGAAAUAGAAAGCAACCUUAGAAGAAAAGAUUGAAUGGAGUUGUUGAGAAAAUUCAACAACGAAAAGAAUAAGCUUGUCAUGGACUUAUGGAUAACAUCUCAGAAAUUAUGAGGUGAUAACCAGCCGCAAACAGAAAUGAUUGGAUAGCUGAGAAGAACGAAGAAAUGCAAAACUCCACUUCAAAAGAAUACGGAGAAUUAAUUGCACUUGAGAUGCAAGAAGGAAGAUACUAGAAUUUCUCCAACAAAGAACCUUGAUGAACUCUUGAAGAAUGAGUUAACUCAUGAAGAACCACCAUAAAGAACUCUGGUAACAAAAGNNNNNNNNNNNNNNNNNNNNNNNNNNNNNNNNNNNNNNNNNNNNNNNNNNNNNNNNNNNNNNNNNNNNNNNNNNNNNNNNNNNNNNNNNNNNNNNNNNNNNNNNNNNNNNNNNNNNNNNNNNNNNNNNNNNNNNNNNNNNNNNNNNNNNNNNNNNNNNNNNNNNNNNNNNNNNNNNNNNNNNNNNNNNGGGAGAACGGACAAAAUUUAGAGGACAAACUCUUCUUCGAUCUUCAAAUGACGACGAGAAACACCACCAAAAUUAUUGAGGUACUCCAGGAGAAUGAAAAGCGAAGACGUUGAGGCAACAAUGAAAAUGAUUUGAACUGAUCUUGGAAAAGAUCUGACUGAUGAAAAUCAUACUUACGUUAAACUUCAAAAAGGAUUUGAGAAUAGCUCCGGGAAAAUUAGAAUAGUCAGGUAAGAUCCUGAAAAAAGACCUGUGAGUUAUGGCCCACUGAAGAGAGAACACCGUUGAAAAGGAUUGUUGAAGAGAUAGGUGAAGCACCGGAACAAUUGAAAUAUUUGAAUGAGGUGACAACCUCGAAUUAAUUGGAACACUGACGAAUCUUCUGAGAUGUCUUGAACACUCUGGAAGGACAAAUUGGCGAGAGGCGAACGAGCAGGGAAAACACUUCGAGGAAAAAGGAUAUGAUCUACCGAAAACUUGAAUUGAAUCCACCGGAGAAGAAAAAGAGAUGAAGAAUGUCAAACGAGAUGAGAAUUCACCGGUUGAGAUAAUUUAUGAAAGACUGAAGAGGUUCCGCACGAAUGAGAUAGAUGGUCGAGAGAGAGUCAGACUUCGGGAAGAAGAGGGUGGGAGGGCGGGAAAACAAAAGCAACUUGAAACGGGAAAUCGAUGAAUAUCUUGAAGAGAAAACACCGGUUGAAAACAUUGAGGCAAGAAAACAAAGACUUCACACGAGUAGGAUGGAUACUCGAAUAUGGACUCCGGUUCCGAGAAGGAAAAGGGGUGGGUGGGUGGGAAAGAAAACAACUGAGGAUUGAACUCAAUGAUGAAGAGGCUCGAGUCGACUUGACGAGAAAUGCACCGGAUGAAAAGAGCUGAGAACCAACGAUCGAAAAAACCAACUGCGUGAUCCUAAAAAAAAUUUGAAGGGAAGAGGAGUAAUUCAAAACACCUACAUCAAGAUUCCUUACCAGAGCGACGAAGGGGCUGGGGAGUAAAAAGAAUUCCUACUCUCCGAUAUAACUAGACUCCGAAAACAGUUUUCUUCUAGACUCAACAACGGCCAAACUACAUGAUCAAUCAAGGGGGCUCCUAGGGUCGGUCGAGGCUCUAAUACCAACUUGUCACGCCCAAUAUGUGACCCUAUCCAAAAGGAACUCGAAGGUCCCACCAAGGAUAGACCCGCAUAUUGAAACGCUUUUGCAAGGUGGAUAUCAUUACAUCAACAUUACAUAAUAGAUGGGGAUACAUACAUAAGGCAUACAAUGCCACACGAAUACAACAUCACAAUACAAAAGAGCACCAUCCGACUACGGAUGAAACACAAACAGAAACUCAAAUGACAUCCACCCUGCUAGCCCAGGCUGCCGACCUGGAACCUAUCCCCUGAUCAAAGAAGAAGCAGAAGAAGAACUCCAAAACAGGCAAACAUCGCUCUCGCGUCAUGAUCAUCGCAUAACCUGUACAUGCAACUGUUGUUGUAGUAACCUGUACCUACAACUGUUGAUGGCUAACAUACGCAAAUAAGAGCGAGAAGAGAGCAAAAGGAACGGUCGUGAAACUAGCAAUGAUCAAGAAGUGAUCCUGAACUCCUACUUACGUCAAACAUAACCCAGAAACCGUGUUCACUUCCCGGACUCCGCCGAAAAGAGACCAUCACGGCUACACACACGGUUGAUGCGUUUUAAUUCGGAUCUGGUGUCAAGUUAUCUACAACCAGACAUUAACAAAUUCCCAUCUGCCUAUAACCGCAGGCACGACUUUCGAAAGAUUAUACCCUGCAGGGGUGUCCCAACUUAGCCCAUGAUAAGCUCUCGCGAUCAACGAAGGAUAUACCUUCUCCCAGGAAGACCCGAUCAGACUCAGAAUCCCGGUUUACAAGACUUUUCGACAAUGGUAAAACAAGACCAGCAAAGCCGCCCGAUGCGCCGACAAAUCCCGAUAGGAGCUGCACAUAUCUCGUUCUCAGGGCAACACCGGAUGAGACUAGCUACGAGUAAAACCAACCCUCAAGUUGCCCCGAGGUGGCCCCGCAGGCAGCUUAGUUCGGAACAACACUUAGACAAGCACUGGCCCGGGGGGGGGGCUAAAAUAAAGAUGAGCCUCGGGUUGGCCGACCCAAGGGAAGGGUAUAGGUGGUGGUGAGGCAAAUGGUAAAACCAAGGUUGGGCCUUGCUGGAGGAGUUUUAUUCAAAGCGAACUGUCUAGGGGGUCCCAUAAAUCAUCCAACCGCGUAAGGAACGCAAAAUCCGGGAACAUAACACCGGUAUGACGGAAACUAGGGCGUUAAGAGUGGAACAAAACACCAGGCAUAAGGCCGAGUCUUCCACCUUUUACCAAGUAUAUAUAUGCAUUAAUAAUAUAAGAGAUAUUGUGAUAUCCCCAACCAAAGUCCUGUCCACCAUGGAGCAAUCUUCAACUUCACCUGCAACUAGCAACGCUAUAAGAGGGCUGAGCAAAGCAGUAACAUAGCGAAGCAACGGUUUGCAUAGGAAAGGUGUCAAAGGUUAGAGGUUCAUGGCAAUAUGGGAGGCUUGAUGAGCAAAAGAUAGGUAACACAGCAUAGCGAUAGAACGAAGCAACUAGCAUAGCAAUGAUAGUAGUGAGAUCCAGGGUAGCGGUCAUCUUGCCUGAAAUCCCGCAAGGAAGAAGAACGAGUCCAUGAAGAAGAUGAAGCCACGAAGACGAACCAAGCGUAGACGAACAAAUCCUCACGAUCGCAACGAAACGGGAACUAUCGAGAAGAAGCACACAACAUAGUAAACACACCACACAUAUACAAGAGAUGAUGCACAAACAAGUAUGAUUCAUGACAAGGCUACAUGAAGCUACUCAUGGCAAGAGAUGAUGCAAACAAGAGCAACACAUCAAGGGAAGUUUAAAUGAGGCCGGGAACAACAUAUAACAAUUCCGGUAAGUCCUCAUAUGCAUAUUUCGAAAUUGGUCCAGAUCUGAAUAAACCUUAUGUUCAAGUUGUUAAAUAGCAAGUUAAGAUGCACAAAGAUGAUCUACGCGAGAUUCUAGUCAAGUUACAUAUAAAGUUCAUUUAGUUCGGAGCUACGGCCUAGAAGAUAUGAGCAAAACAAGUUAAACAUGGCAUUGAUGCAAAAUGCAUACAAACAUCAAGCAAACAGCUCAAAACAUGGAUGCAACAUGAUAAUAUGAAGCUACAUGCAAUUCUAAGCAAUUUUCAUAUAGAGCACACUCAAAACGGAGCAACAGUUCAACACACACACACUAUACAAGUCAUAGCAACAAUCUGUCCAAAACAGCAACUAGGCAUAUUGCAAGCAUCAAAACAACAUGCUACAGAUGAGAACAAAAGGCAUGGGCAUGAUGUACAGGUAAAGCAUAACAAAACAUGAACACUUAGCUAUCUCCAGAAAUCACUAGAACAUGCUCAAACACACAUGGCAAGAUUACAAAUAAUAACAGUUCAGACUUUGCAGAAAAUAACAUCAUGUUGCAAUGUUUAGAGCUAUCAAACAACAUGUUACAGGAACUUAUCAUGGCAAAUAAAGGCAUGGCAUGAAUCUACUAAAUGUAUAGAACAAAAGUUCCGUACUGACUAUGAGCAAAAAAGGAUCAGAAAAUAUGAUGGCACCCACGUAAACAUGGCAAGUAAUAAUACAGAUUCAUACAUGGCAGGAACAGAAUUAUGAAGGCAUGUUGAUGAGCUUGUGCAACUCUCUACAGGGCAAAACAUGGCAUGGAAAGGCAACCAACAGUAAGAAGACAUGAUUAUGAAGCUAAGCAUGGCAAUAGAAAGUCCAUAGGGUGCAUGGAACACUAGCAACAAUCAUGGAAACAACUGAACUCAAUGUUAACAGGCUGACAGCAACAUUAUGUAGCAACUUUGGGGCAAGAUAUAAACAAGCUACAGCAAGCUAUAAAUGCAACCAGGGGCAUGAAUAGAUAGAGGAUGAUAUGUAGAACUAAACACCAUUAGUGAACAUCUCCAGAUUAUGCAUAGAAUGACUAGUAGCAGCAGGUUUACAUAGCAUCACGAAAUAACAGAUUCAGCCUAGCAAAACAGUAACAACAAGUACCCUACUUAACAAGCUCGAAUCACUCACCACAAGUCAUUGCAUGACAAGAUAAGUAUAGCAUCAGCAAGAAGACAUGUUUAUGAAACAAACCAAGUCAAGAACAAGUCCAUAGCAUGCAAGGAUCAACUACAUCAACCUUGGCAAAAUUGAAUAACAUGUAAAAAAUCCGCCAGGAAACAUUUUGGGGCAAAAGUAGAGCACGAAAAUGACAUGAUAGGCUACUCCAUAAUUGCAAACAGGGGCAUGAACGGCUAGAUAAUAACCAUAUAUUCAAAACAUCCUUACUGAAGUAUCUCAAAAUAUGCAUGGAUCUCUCUGUAGCAUCAAGUUUAUAUGGCAUCAAAAUAACAGCAGAACAGGGACUAAAAUCAGCAAUAUCACGAAGCCUAGUUUGCAUGCUUGUGCUAGUCACCACAUUGAUCACAGAAAUACAUGGUAAGCACCUCUGUAUAGAUGGCAUGGCAUAGUUCAAAACACAUGUAGACAUCAACAUCAUAGGAUGCACACAUCAAACAUGGCAGAAAUGACAAAUGAGCAUGUUAUAACAGUUUCAGCAGAUUAACAUCAUGAAGCACUCUUGCAGCGAUGAUUCAGGCAUCAGGAUGAGCUCAAAUGAACAUGAUGAAAUGGAAUGAAAUGAAGUACUCGUUGAGACGAACAAUUUGACAUAUUACACGCACAAAAUGGAGCUACGGAUGCAGAGAUAUGAUGCGAUGAACAUGGCAUGAUUAUGCAAAAUAUCCGGGAAUUUGGCGAAAUUUCAGGGUCAACCUUGUUUUCAGAUCUAGAUCGGGGCGCGGAAAGCGAGGGUAGCCGGAGCAUCGCCGGAGAUGGCCGCGGGAGGUCAAGGGCGGCACGGGGAGAUGGCCCCGGACCGGAUCCGGCCGGCGGCGGGCACGGUCGGCGACGCGCGGGGCCGGCGGACUCCUAGCGCAGCCNNNNNNNNNNNNNNNNNNNNNNNNNNNNNNNNNNNNNNNNNNNNNNNNNNNNNNNNNNNNNNNNNNNNNNNNNNNNNNNNNNNNNNNNNNNNNNNNNNNNNNNNNNNNNNNNNNNNNNNNNNNNNNNNNNNNNNNNNNNNNNNNNNNNNNNNNNNNNNNNNNNNNNNNNNNNNNNNNNNNNNNNNNNNNNNNNNNNNNNNNNNNNNNNNNNNNNNNNNNNNNNNNNNNNNNNNNNNNNNNNNNNNNNNNNNNNNNNNNNNNNNNNNNNNNNNNNNNNNNNNNNNNNNNNNNNNNNNNNNNNNNNNNNNNNNNNNNNNNNNNNNNNNNNNNNNNNNNNNNNNNNNNNNNNNNNNNNNNNNNNNNNNNNNNNNNNNNNNNNNNGGCCGCGCGGUGGAGACGGCGGCGGGGGCGAAUCGGAAGGCGACACGUGGCGGCGGCGAGGGGGUUGGACAUGUCCGGCGGCGGAGCGGACAUGUCCGGCGCAGUGAGGGAGGAGACGGCUAGGGUUUCGGGGGGGAUUUGAUCCGCGAAUUUGGACGGAGAGGGCAUAUUUAUAGAUUUUGGGAGCUAGGAGAGUCCAAAUGAGGAGCGGUUUUUGGCCACGCGAUCGUGAUCGAACGACCGAGAGCAUGGAGGGGAGUUAGAUGGGUUUUGGGCUAGUUUGGAGGGGUGUUGGGCUGCAAAGAGAAAGGGGGGUUUCGGGCUACGCGGUUAACCAGGAGUAUCAAACGGACUCCAAAUGGCACGAAACUUGACAGGCGGUCUACCGAUGGUGUACCAAGGCCACUUGGCAAGCCUCGGGCCAUUCCGAGAAAGUUUAACACCCGCUCACAACGAGAGACAAAAGGGGAACGCCGGAGGGCAUAGGAGUGCCGGGUUGCAAAACGGACAACGGGGAAAAGGCUCGGAUGCAUGAGACGAACACGAAUGCAAUGCAAUGCAAUGCACAUGAUGACAUGAUAAAAUGCAACACGCAAGCAAAUGACUUGGCAAAGAAGGCGAAAAACUGGCAGACACCUGGCACAUCGAAUCUGGGGCGUUACAGAAUGACAGGCGGGGCCCACCAAAUGGGCUGCCCCACAAGUCAGCGAGACCCAGCCAGGAGCCACGGAGUGAGCAAGAGCGAGCGAAACGAGUAACUAUUCAUUCCAGCAGUGCCAGCUCCAGAUCCGAUGGCCCAGGUUCAUCCAUAUCUCGAUCCGACGCCCAGAAUCGCAUCAAGCAAACCGAUCCGACGGCCGAAAGUGCCUGAUCGCUGUGAGAGCCCGGGAGUGACUGCCGUCCUUAUUUCUGGAUAUAUAGCCUGCAUUAAAAACUGAAAAAUAUUAUUUUAUGUAAGAGUGCACAAAAGCUCGUCGAACACAUGCAUUGCAUGAGCUUUUCUUAAAUAAAGGUUAUGCAUGUUCAGCUAGUUCUCGCACAGCAGCGAUUCAUAUUUACGAUGCCAAUUAUGAACCUUGACGAUGGUUGCACGCAACAUCCCUUUAUGAACCUUGACGAUGGUUGCAGCGCUGAUCGUGUAUGUCGAUUAUAUCCAGUGCCUCAUAGAUUUUACAGCCGGGUGUAACACUUCACGCACAUGCACAGUUCGGUUAUUCAGCAUCGUAAAUAUCACGAAUGGAUGACGACCCCUUUCUCCUGAAUUAAUACCUUAUAGAGCAUCUUCAACAGGCGUGCUAAAAGACGCGCCCGCGCGGUAAAAUUGUUUUUUAGCACGUGUCGACCGGUUUCGCGCGCUCCAGCGGUGGCAGGAAACGAUCACGCACGCGGGAGAAAAGGCGGCAGCUCGCGCGCUAGAUUUGGCGCGCCGCUUCGCGCGCGCCUAUAAAACGGCAGCGCCAUCUGCCGCUCUCUCUCGCUCUCUCCACUGAUUUUCCUCCUCGCCGCCGACACGCCACCACCGCGCCACCAUGCUGCCUCGCCGCCGGGGAGGUUCAGGCUAGCGCGGCGUCCACGUGCGCCCGUCCGGCACCUACUCCGCCUCGAUUCAGUCGGGCGGCGGCGUGCGCCUUGGCCUCGGAACCUUCGACACCGCCCAGGAUGGCGUCCGCGCGUACGACGUUGCGGCGUGGCGCCUCCGGCGGUCCCGUUGGGACAUGAACUUUACCGACGUGUCGACGCGGGAGCGGGCACAAGAGUUCGCGCCUUUCCCGCGGCUUACCACUGACGAGGAUCGUCACAAACACCAGAGGCGGGAGCGCCGUCUUAGCCAGGCCGAGAUGGACGAGGAAGCCAUGGCGGUGUGGAGGCAACGCUUCCCGCAAGACAUCAUUAACGAAGAACAGUUCUUCGCCGAGAGGAGGGCGGAGAGGGAGGAGAGGAGGAAGGAGCGAGCCGCCUAUUGCAAGGACAAGCGAACGCGGAAGGCGGUCGCUAAAUACAACAUGGAGCUAGGUGAUGCGUUGUCCCGGGACUCCCGCGAGCGGUUCCUUGACGCCUAUGCUCAGACGCCGGAGGAGGACAUCACCGAGGCAGAGUCCGAGUCGAAGAAAGAGUAGCAGUAGUUUUUAUUUUGUAUCAUAGAAGCAGGUUAUGUGGACGUAGUAGAACUGAGAAGCCAGUUUUAUUUUGUAUCGUAGAAGCAGGCUAUGUGGACGUAGUAGAAGUAUAUAUCGUUGGAGAAGCCAGUUUUAUUUUGUAUCGUAGAAGCAGACUAUGUGGACGUAGUAGAACUAUAUAUCGUUGGAGAAGUCUAGAUGUACGCAUUUUGUAUCGUAGAAGCAGACUAUGUGCCGAACUAUUUUUUACGCGCUGCUAGAGCGGCGCGCGCACGCUACAUUUUAGCGCGGCUGUUGGAGCCAAUGUUGCAGGCCGCGUAAAACCAGGCAAAGCGCACACGGCAAAGUAGUUUUUAACGCGGCGCGUGUUGCGCGCCUGUUGGAGAUGCUCUUAGCGUACCCAAGAGCUGAAAUGUGCUGGUGGUCUGUUGCUACUCAUCCCUAUGACUUUAUUUAUAAAAUCGGACGUAUCUUUUCUCUAAAAACAGAGCUGAAAUCAAAGGGCAUGGCAUGUCCUUUGAGAGGAUAAAUGAAGGUCUGCACUCGAUGCAAAGUGACCACGGGGUGCGCAUCCCUUAGCUCGGACUCUUGAAAGGCCAAACCCUAGCAAAAUCUGUGUAGUGAAAGGGGAGAGAGUAAUUGGACUGGAAGAUAAAGCACCUCAAUAUAUUCUUGAAUCAUACAUGCAAGACGCGUGGUGUGAAAAAGGGGCGGUAUUUGUAAAUUUGCAUGAAACAAUAACUGGUCUUAGCCAAUGGUUUAUACCAACUAUUAAAUCUAAACACCCGCCGCCAAGAAAGCAAGGAAGCAAAACCUGAGCACCCCCCACUAGCGUGCCUAAUUGGUCGCACAAGAAACAAGGCGACCUCGCUAAACUGCCUCCCGCCGAUACUACUCUCCGUCCCUUCCACCCACGGCAUAUCGGCUGCCAUGGUUAAGCGGUGGCUCCCCCUAGAGGCCAAGCCCGACGUCAUGAACCAGGUACCCGUGCCUCCUCUCCACUUCGGCUAGGGCUUUUGCUUCGUCAUCUCCUCUGUUGGGGAACGUAGUAAUUUAAAGAAUUUCCUACGCACACGCAAGAUCAUGGUGAUGCAUAGCAACAAGAGGGAAGAGUGUGUCCACGUACCCUCGUAGACCGAAAGCGGAAGCGUUAGAACAACGCGUUUGAUGUAGUCGUACGUCUUCACGGCCCGACCGAUCAAGCACCGAAACUACAGCACCUCCGAGUUCUAGCACACGUUCAGCUCGAUGACGUCCCUCGAAAUCCGAUCCAGCCGAGUGUCGAGGGAGAGUUCCGUCAGCAUGACGGCGUGGUGAUGAUUUUGAUGUUCUACAGUCGCAGGGCUUCGCUUAAGCACCGCUACAAUAUUAUCGAGGAGGACUAUGGUGGAGGGGGGCACCGAACACGGCUAAGAGAUCCAAGGGAUCAAUUGUGGUUAUGUCUAGAGGUGCCCUCCUGCCCCCGUAUAUAAAGGAGCCAGGGGGAGGGGUUCGGCCGGCCAGGAGGGGCGCGCCAGGAGGAGUCCUCCUCCCACCGGGAGUAGGACUCCCCCCCUUCCUUGUUGGAGUAGGAGAGAAGGAAAGAGGGGGAGAGGAGGAAGGAAAAGGGGGCUGCACCCCUUGUCCAAUUCGGACCAGAGGGAAGCUGCGCGCCUCCUUCCUUUCGGCCUCUCUCCUCUAUUCCCAUAUGGCCCAAUAAGGCCCAUAUACUCCCCGACGAAUUCCCGUAACUCUCUGGUACUCCGAAAAAUACCCGAAUCACUCGGAACCCUUCCGAACUCCGAAUAUAGUCGUCCAAUAUAUCGAUAUUUACGUCUCGACCACUUCGAGACUCCUCAUCAUGUCCCCGAUCUCAUCCGGGACUCUGAACUCCUUCGAUACAUCAAAACUCAUAAAUUCAUAAUAUAACUAUCAUCGAAACCUUAAGUGUGCGGACCCUACGGGUUCGAGAACAAUGUAGACAUGACCGAAACACAUUUCCGGUCAAUAACCAAAUAGCGGAACCUGGAUGCUCAUAUUGGCUCCCACAUAUUCUAUGAAGAUCUUUAUCGGUCAGACCGCAUAACAACAUACAUUGUUCCCUUUGUCAUCGGUAUGUUACUUGCCCGAGAUUCGAUCGUCGGUAUCUCAAUACCUAGUUCAAUCUCGUUACCGGCAAGUCUCUUUACUCGUUCCGUAAUACAUCAUCCCGCAACUAAUUCAUUAGUUGCAAUGCUUGCAAGGCUUAAGUGAUGUGCAUUACCGAGUGGGCCCAAAGAUACCUCUCCGACAAUCGGAGUGACAAAUCCUAAUAUCGAAAUACGCCAACCCAACAAGUACCUUCGGAGACACCUGUAGAGCACAUUUAUAAUCACCCAGUUACGUUGUGACGUUUGGUAGCACACAAAGUGUUCCUCCGAUAAAUGGGAGUUGCAUAAUCUCAUAGUCAUAGGAACAUGUAUAAGUCAUGAAGAAAGCAACAACAACAUACUAAACGAUCGGGUGCUAUGCUAACGGAGUGGGUCAUGUCAAUCACAUCAUUCUCCUAAUGAUGUGAUCCCGUUAAUCAAAUGACAACUCAUGUCUUUGGCUAGGAAACGUAACCAUCUUUGAUUCAACGAGCUAGUCAAGUAGAGGCAUACUAGUGACACUAUGUUUGUCUAUGUAUUCACGCAUGUAUUAUGUUUCUGGUUAAUACAAUUCUAGCAUGAAUAAUAAACAUUUAUCAUGAAAUAAGGAAAUAAAUAAUAACUUUACUAUUGCCUCUAGGGCAUAUUUCCUUUAGUCUCCCACUUGCACUUGAGUCAAUAAUCUAGUUCACAUCGCCAUGUGAUUUAACACCAAUAUUCACAUCUGUAUGUGAUUAAUACCCAUAGUUCACAUCAUCAUGUGAUCAACACCCAAAGGGUUUACUAGAGUCAAUAACCUAGUUCACAUCGCUAUGUGAUUAACACCCAAAGAGUACUAAGGUAUGAUCAUGUUUUGCUCGUGAGAGAAGUUUAGUCAACGAGUCUGUCAUAUUCAGAGCCGUAUGUAUUUUGCAAAUAUUCUAUGUCUACAAUGCUUUGCACGGAGCUACUCUAGUUAAUUGCUCCCACUUUCAAUAUGUAUCCAGAUUGAGACUUAGAGUCAUCUGGAUUGGUGUAAAAGCUUGCAUCGAUGUAACUCUUUACAACGAACUCUUUUAUCACCUCCAUAAUCGAAAAACAUCUCCUUAGUCCUCACUAAGGAUAUUCUUGACCACUGUCCAGUGAUCUACUCUUAGAUCAAAAUUGUAUUCCUUUGCCAAACUCAAAGCAAGGUAUACAAUAGGUCUGGUACACAGCAUAGCAUAUUUUAUGGAACCUAUGACUGAAGCAUAGGGAAUGACUUUUCAUUCUCUUUCCAUUUUCUGCCAUGGUCGGGUUUUGAGUCUUACUCAACUUCAUACCUUUGCAUCACAGGCAAGAACUCUUUUUUUGACUGUUCCAUUUUGAACUACUUCAAAAUCUUGUCAAGGUAUGUACUAAUUGAAAAUCUUAUCAAGCGUCUUGAUCUAUCUCAAUAGAUCUUGAUACUCAAUGUGUAAGCAGCUUCACCAAGGUCUUUCUUUGAAAAAUUCCUUUCAAACACUCCUUUAUGCUUUCCAGAAAAUUCUACAUCAUUUCCGAUCAACAAUAUGUCAUUCACAUAUACUUAUCAGAAAGGCUGUAGUGCUCCCACUCACUUUCUUGUAAAUACAGGCCUUUCCAAAAGUCUGUAUAAAACCAUAUGCUUUGAUCAACUCAUCAAAGCGUAUAUUCCAACUCCGAGAUGCUUGCACCAGUCCAUCGAUGUAUCGCUGGAGCUUGCAUAUUUUUUGUUAGCACCUUCAGGAUUAACAAAACCUUCUGGUUGUAUCAUAUACAACUCUUCUUUAAAAAAAUCCAUUAAGGAAUGCAGUUUUGACAUCCAUUUGCCAGAUUUCAUAAAAUGUGGCAAUUGCUAACAUGAUUCGGACAGAAUUUAAGCAUCGAUACGAGUGAGAAAAUCUCAUUGUAUUCAACACCUUGAUCUUGUCGAAAAACCUUUUGCGACAAGUUGAGCUUUGUAGAUAGUAAAACUACUAUCAGUGUCUGUCUUCCUCUUGAAGAUCCAUUUAUUUAACAUGGCUUGCUGAUCAUCGAGCAAGUCAAUCAAAGUCCAUACUUUGUUCUCAUACAUAGAUCAUAUCUCAGAUUUUAUGGCCUCAAGCCAUUUCACGGAAUGUGGGCUCAUCAUCGCUUCCUCAUAGUUCGUAAGUUCAUCAUGGUCUAGUAAUAUGACUUCCAGAAUAGGAUUACCGUACCACUCUGGUGCGGACCGUACUCUAGAAGACCUACGAGGUUCGGUAGUAACUUGAUCUGAAGCUUCAUGAUCAUCAUCAUUAGCUUCCUCACUAAUUGGUGUAGGAAUCACAGGAGCUGAUUUCUGUGAUGAACUACCUUCCAACAAGGGAGCGGGUACAGUUACCUCAUCAAGUUCUACUUCCCUCCCACUCACUUCUUUCGAGAGAAACUCCUUCUCUAGAAAGGAUCCAUUCUUAGCAACAAUGACUUUUGCCUUCGGAUCUGUGAUAGAAGGUGUACCCAACAAUUCCCUUUGGGUAUUCUAUGAAGACGCACUUCUCCGAUUUGGGUUUAAGCUUAUCUGGUUGAAACUUUUUCACAUAAGCAUCGCAGCCCCAAACUUUAAGAAACGACAACUUUGGUUUCUUGCCAAACCACAGUUCAUAAGGCGUCAUCUCAACGGAUUUUGAUGGUGCCCUUUUUAAAGUGAAUGCAACUGUCUUUAAUGCAUAACCCCAAAACGAUAAUGGUAAACCAAUAACAGACAUCAUAGGUCGCACAAUAUACAAUAAAGUGCGGUUACGACGUUCGGACACACCAUAACGUUGUGGUGUUUCCAGGUGGUGUGAACUAUGAAACUAUUCCACAUUGUUUUAUAUGAAGGCCAAACUCGUAACUCAAAUAUUCUCCUCCACGAUCAGAUCGUAGAAACUUUAUUUUCUUGUUACGACGAGUCUCCACUUCACUCUGAAAUUCUUUGAACUUUUCAAAUGUUUCAGACUUGUGUUUCAUUAAGUAGAUAUACCCAUAUCUGCUCAAAUCAUCUGUGAAGGUCAGAAAAUAAUGAUACUUGCCACAAGCAUCGACACUCAUUGGAUCACAUACAUCGGUAUGUAUUAUUUCCAAUAAGUCAGUAGCUCAUUCCAUUGUUCCGGAGAAUAGAGUUUUAGUCAUCUUGCCCAAAAGGCACGGUUCGCAAGCAUCAAAUGAUUCAUAACCAAGUGAUUCCAAAAAUCCAUAUUUAUGGAGUUUCUUCAUGCGCUUUACACCGAUAUGACCUAAACGGCAGUGCCACAAAUAUGUUGCACUAUCAUUAUCAACUUUGCAUCUUUUGGCAUCAAUAUUAUGGAUAUGUGUAUCACUACGAUCGAGAUCCAACAAACCAUUUUCAUUGGGUGUAUGACCAUUGAAGGUUUUAUUCAUUUAAACAGAACAACAAUUAUUCUCUGACUUUAAAUGAAUAACCGUAUUGCAAUAAACAUGAUCAAAUCAUAUUCAUGCUCAAUGCAAACGCCAAAUAACAUUUAUUUAGGUUUAACACUAAUCCCAAAAGUAUAGGGAGUGUACGAUGAUGAUCAUAUCAAUCUUGGAACCACUUCCAACACACAUCAUCACUUCACUCUCAACUAGUCUCUGUUUAUUCUGUAACUCCUGUUUCGAGUUACUAAUUUUUAGCAAUCGAACAAGUAUCAAAUACUCAGGGGCUACUAUAAACACUAGUAAGGUACACAUCAAUAACCUGUAUAUCAAAUAUACCUUUGUUCACAUUGCCAUCCUUCUUAUCCACCAAAUAUUCAGGGUAUUUCCGCUUCCAGUGACCAUUUCCUUUGCAGUGUAAGCACUCAGUUUCAGGCUUUGGUCUAGCUUUGGGAUUCUUCGCGGGAGUGACAACUUGCUUGUCAUUCUACUUGAAGUUCCCUUUCUUUCCCUUUGCCCUUUCUUGAAACUAGUGGUAUUGUCAAUCAUCAACACUUGAUGCUCUUUCUUGAUUUCUACCUUCAUCGAUUUCAGCAUCACGAAGAGCUCGGGAAUCGUUUACGUCAUCCCUUGCAUUUAUAGUUCAUCACGAAGUUCCAGUAACUUGGUGAUGGUGACUAGAGAACUCUGCCAAUCACUAUCUUAUCUGGAAGAUUAACUCCCACUUGAUUCAAGCGAUUGUAGUACUCAGACAAUCUAAGUACUUUCUCACUAGUUGAGCAAUUCUCCUCCAUCUUUUAGCUAUAGAACUUGUUGGAGACUUCAUAUCUCUCAACUCGGGUAUUUGCUUGAAAUAUUAACUUCAACUCCUGGAACAUCUCAUAUGGUCCAUGACGUUCAAAACGUCUUUGAAAUCCCGAUUCUAAGACGUUAAGCAUGGUGCACUUAACUAUCAAGUAGUCAUCAUAUUGAGCUAGCCAAACGUUCAUAACGUCUGCAUCUGCUCCUGCAAUAGGUCUGUCACCUAGCGGUGCAUCAAGAACAUAAUUCUUCUAUGCAACAAUGAGGAUAAACCUCAGAUCACGGAUCCAAUCCUCAUCAUUUCUACUAACAUCUUUCAACACAAUUUUCUCUAGGAACAUAUCAAAAUAAACAUAUGAAAGCAACAACGCAAGCUAUUGAUUUAGAACAUAAUUUGCAAAAUACUACCAGGACUAAGUUCAUGAUAAAUUAAAGUUCAAUUAAUCAUAUUACUUAAGAACUCCCACUUAGAUAGACACCCCUCUAAUCCUCUAAGUGAUCACGUGAUCCAAAUCAACUAAACCAUGUCCGAUCAUCACGUGAGAUGGAGUAGUUUCAAUGGUGAACGUCACUAUGUUGAUCAUAUCUACUAUAUGAUUCACGCUCGACCUUUCGGUCUCCGUGUUUCGAGGCCAUAUCUGUUAUAUGCUAGGCUCGUCAAGUUUAACCUGAAUAUUCCGUGUGUGCAACUGUUUUGCACCCAUUGUAUUUGAACGUAGAUCCUAUCACACCCGAUCAUCAUGUGGUGUCUCAGCACGAAGAACUUUCACAACGGUGCAUACUCAGGGAGAACACUUCUUGAUAAUUUAGCGAGGGAUCAUCUUAAAAUGCUACCGUCAAUCAAAGCAAGAUAAGAUGCAUAAAACAUAAACAUCACAUGCAGUCAAUAUAAGUGAUAUGAUAUGGCCAUCAUCAUCUUGUGCUUGUGAUCUCCAUCUCCGAAGCACCGUCGUGAUCACCAUCGUCACCGGCGCGACACCUUGAUCUCCAUUGUAGCAUCGUUGUCGUUACGCCAUCUAUUUCUUCUACGACUAUCGCUACCGCUUAGUGAUAAAGUAAAGCAAUUACAGGGCGUUUGCAUUUCAUACAAUAAAGCGACAACCAUAUGGCUCCUGCCAGUUGCCGAUAACUUCGGUUACAAAACAUGAUCAUCUCAUACAAUAAAAUAUAGCAUCACAUCUUGACCAUAUCACAUCACAACAUGCCCUACAAAAACAAGUUAGACGUCCUCUACUUUGUUGUUGCAAGUUUUACGUGGCUGCUACGGGCUUAGCAAGAAAUGUUCUUACCUAUGCAUCAAAACCACAACGAUAGUUUGUCAAGUUGGUGCUGUUUUAACCUUCGCAAGGACCGGGCGUAGCCACACUCGGUUCAACUAAAGUUGGAGAAACUGACACCCGCCAGCCACCUAUGUGCAAAGCACGUCGGUAGAACCAGUCUCGCGUAAGCGUACGCGUAAUGUAGGUCCGGGCCGCUUCAUCCAACAAUACCGCCGAACCAAAGUAUGACAUGCUGGUAAGCAGUAUGACUUGUAUCGCCCACAACUCACUUGUGUUCUACUCGUGCAUAUAACAUCAACGCAUAAAACCUGGCUUGGAUGCCACUGGUGGGGAACUUAGUAAUUUCAAAAUUUUCCUACGCACACGCAAGAUCAUGGUGAUGCAUAGCAACGAGAGGGAAGAGUGUGUCCACGUACCCUCAUAGACCGAAAGCGGAAGCGUUAGAACAACGCGGUUGAUGUAGUCGUACGUCUUCACGGCCCGACUGAUCAAGCACCGAAACUACGGCACCUCUGAGUUCUAGCACACGUUCAGCUCGAUGACGUCCUUCGAACUUCAAUCCAGCCGAGUGUCGAGGGAGAGUUCCGUCAGCACGACGGCGUGAUAACGAUCUUGAUGUUCUACCGUCACAGGGCUUCGCUUAAGCACCGCUACAAUAUUAUCAAGGAGGACUAUGGUGGAGGGGGGCACCGCACACGGCUAAGAGAUCCAAGGGAUCAAUUGUGGUUAUGUCUAGAGGUGCCCCCCUGCCCCCGUAUAUAAAGGAGCUAGGAGGAGGGGUUCGGUCGGCCAGGAGGGGCGCGCCAGGACGAGUCCUCCUCCCACCGGGAGUAGGACUCCCCCCCUUCCUUGUUGGAGUAGGAGAGAAGGAAAGAGGGGGAGAGGAGGAAGGAAAAGGGGGCUGCACCCCUUGUCCAAUUCGGACCAGAGGGGGGCUGCGCUCCUCCUUCCUUUCGGCCUCUCUCCUCUAGUCCCGUAUGGCCCAAUAAGGCCCAUAUACUCCCCGACGAAUUCCCAUAACUCUCUAGUACUCCGAAAAAUACCCGAAUCACUCGGAACCUUUCCGAACUCCGAAUAUAGUCGUCCAAUAUAUCGAUCUUUACAUCUCGACCAUUUUGAGACUCCUCGUCAUGUCCCCGAUCUCAUCCGAGACUCCGAACUCCUUCGGUACAUCAAAACUCAUAAACUCAUAAUAUAACUAUCAUCGAAACCUUAAGCGUGCGGACCCUACGGGUUCGAGAACAAUGUAGACAUGACCGAAACACGUUUCCGAUCAAUAACCAAUAGCGGAACCUGGAUGCUCAUAUUGGCUCCCACAUAUUCUACGAAGAUCUUUAUCGGUCAGACUACAUAACAACAUACGUUGUUCCCUUUGUCAUCGGUAUGUUACUUGCCCGAGAUUCGAUCGUCGGUAUCUCAAUACCAAGUUCAAUCUCGUUAUCGGCAAGUAUCUUUACUCGUUCCGUAAUACAUCAUCCCGCAACUAACUCAUUAGUUGCAAUGCUUGCAAGUCUUAAGUGAUGUGCAUUACCGAGUGGGCCCAGAGAUACCUCUCCGACAAUCGAAGUGACAAAUCCUAAUCUCGAAAUACGCCAACCCAACAAGUACCUUCGGAGACACCUGUAGAGCACCUUUAUAAUAACCCAGUUACGUUGUGACGUUUGGUAGCACACAAAGUGUUCCUCCGGUAAACAGGAGUUGCAUAAUCUCAUAGUCAUAGGAACAUGUAUAAGUCAUGAAGAAAGCAACAACAACAUAAUAAACGACCGGGUGCUAUGCUAAUGGAGUGGGUCAUGUCAAUCACAUCAUUCUCCUAAUGAUGUGAUCCCGUUAAUCAAAUGACAACUCAUGUCUAUGGCUAGGAAACGUAACCAUCUUUGAUUCAACGAGCUAGUCAAGUAGAGGCAUACUAGUGACCGUAUGUUUGUCUAUGUAUUCACACAUGUAUUAUGUUUCCGGUUAAUACAAUUCUAGCAUGAAUAAUAAACAUUUAUCAUGAAAUAAGGAAAUAAAUAAUAACUUUAUUAUUGCCUCUAGGGCAUAUUUCCUUCAUCCUCCUCCUCGCUCAUGGCCCUUUAUGGUACUCUCAGUUGCAGUCUGUGUCACGAACCGGUCCCGAGGGUGGCCCUGAAUCUCCUUGCUUUAUGUCCAGUCCGUGGAACGAUUGCUGGCACGCACAAUUGACGAUGAAAUACCAAGAAAUAAUGCAUGUCAUAUAUUGUCAAAGUUAAUGGAGCUAGCUCAAAUUCGUUCGCACCAUCACGUGGGUUAUGGCAGGGAGACCAGUUAUCAACGUUUCUAUUCUUAUUUGUUGUUGAUGGUCUCGCCGUUAUUUUAAAACAUAAAGUGUGAUACGUCUCCAACGUAUCUAUAAUUUUUGAUUGUUCCAUGCUAUUAUGUUACCCGUUUUGUAUGUUUAUGGGCUUUACUUUACACAUUUAUAUCAUUUUUGGGACUAACCUACUAACCGGAGGCCCAACCCAUAUUGCUGUUUUUUUGCCUAUUUCAGUGUUUCGAAGAAAAGGAAUAUCAAACGGAUUCCAAACGGAACGAAACCUUCAGGAGCGUGAUUUUUGGAAUGAACGUGAUCCAGAGGACUUGGAGUGCAAGUCAAGAAGCAAUCGAGGAGGCCACGAGGGUGGAGGGCGCCCCCCCUACUAGGCGCGCUCCCCUAUCUCGUGGGCCCCUCGGGCAUCCACCGACCUACUUCUUCCUCCUAUAUAUACCCACGUACCCCGAAAACAUCAGAGGCGACCACGAAAAACUAUUUCCACCACCAUAACCUUCUGUAUCCGCGAGAUCCCAUCUUGGAGCCUUCGCCGGCGCUCCGUCAGAGGGGGAAUCGGCCAUGGAGGGCUUCUACAUCAACACCAUAGCCUCUCCGAUGAGUUGUGAGUAGUUUACCAUAGACCUUCGGGUCCAUAGUUAUUAGCUAGAUGGCUUCUUCUCUCUCUUUGAAUCUCAAUAACAUGUUCUCCUCGAUCUUCUUGGAGAUCUAUUCGAUGUAACUCUUUUUGCGGUGUGUUUGUCGAGAUCCGAUGAAUUGUGGGUUUAUGAUCAAGUUUAUCUAUGAGAAAUAUUUGAAUCUCCUCUGAAUUCUUUUAUGUGUGAUUAAGUUAUCUUUGCAAGUUUCUUUGAAUUAUCAGUUUGAUUUAGCCUACUAGAUUGAUCUUUCUUGCAAUGGGAGAAAUGCUUAGCUUUGGGUUCAAUCUUGCGGCGUCCUUUCCCAGUGACAGUAGGGGCAGCAAGGCACGUAUUGUAUUGUUGCCAUCGAGGAUAAAAAGAUGGGAUUCGUAUCAUAUUGCAUGAGUUUAUCCCUCUACAUCAUGUCAUCUUUCUUAAUGCAUUACUCUGUUCUUUAUGAACUUAAUACUCUAGAUGCAUGCUGGAUAGCGGCCGAUGUGUGGAGUAAUAGUAGUAGAUGCAGGCCGGAGUCGGUCUACUUGUCAGAGACGUGAUGCCUAUAUACAUGAUCAUGCCUAGAUAAUCUCAUAAUUAUUCUCUUUUCUAUCAAUUGCUCGACAGUAAUUUGUUCACCCACCGUAAUACUUAUGCUAUCUUGAGAGAAGCCACUAGUGAAACCUAUGGCCCCCGGGUCUAUCUUUUAUCAUAUAAGUUUUCAAUCUACUUUUAUUUGCAUCUUUACUUUUUCAAUCUAUAUUAUAAAAUACCAGAAAUAUAUUUAUCUUAUCAUAUUAUCUCUAUCAGAUCUCACUUUCGCAAGAGGUCGUGAAGGGAUUGACAACCCCUUUAUUGCGUUGGUUGUGAGUUAUUGUUUGUUUGUGUAGGUGCAUGGGACUUUUGAGGAGCCUCCUAUUGGAUUGAUACCUUGGUUCUCAAAAACUGAGGGAAAUACUUACGUUACCAUUGCUGCAUCACCCUUUCCUCUUCAAGGAAAACCAGCGCAAACUCAAGAUGUAGGAAGAAGGAUUUCUGGCGCCAUUGCCGGGGAGGUCUCCGCUCAAGUCAAGAUAUACCAAGUACCCAUCACAAACUCAUCUCCCUCGCAUUUACAUUAUUUGCCAUUUGCCUCUCGUUUUCCUCUCCCCCACUUCACCCUUGCCGUUUUAUUCGCCCUCUCUUUCCCAAUCUCCUCUCUCUUUCGCUUGCCUUUUUGUUUGCUCGUGUGUUAGAUCGUUUACCUUGUCGUAAUGGCUACUCAUCCUAUUAUCGUUAACACUCCCGAUCAUGAAGUUCUUAAUUUUAAACAAAGGAAGGGAGAAAACUUAAAGGAUGCUUGGCAUAGAAUUUGCAAUGCUUAAAAUAGAUCUACUAGGAAGCAAUCCACUUCCAUUCUUCUUCGCAAUUUUUAUGUAGGCAUUACUCCUUGGAAUAGAUAUAUUCUUGAUACCAUUACCGGAGGGAAUUUCUUGGGUAGCCACACUUUUGAUGCUUAUAAUUCCAUGUUAGAUUUGUUUGGUCCACCCCCUCUUUUGGUUAAUGGAACUAUCUUAACUUUGGAACAUGUGAUGCAAAGGCUUGAAAUUUUAUUUGUGUUUUUUGUUUUUGUUUCUGUUUAGUAAUAAAUUUUUGCAUCUACCUUCUGUUUAUAUGUGUUUUUAUGUUUUAAUUAGUGUUUGUGCCAAGUAGAACCUAUAGGAUAACCUAUGGUGAUAGUUAAUUUGAUUCUGCUGAAAAACAGAAAUUUGCGCGCACGAAAAUAAUUUUAGUAAUUCACAGAAACGUGACUUUGCGUUGAUUCUUUUUUCUGUAGAUCAAUAGACAAAUUUCCCAGGACCUCCUAUUUUUGUAGGAGUUUUAAAGUUCCAUAAGUAUUCGAGAGUUACAGAUUGCUACAGACUGUUCUGUCUUUGACAGAUUCUGUUUUUCGUGUGUUGUUUGCUUAUUUUGAUGCAUCUAUGGCUAGUAGUAAGUAGUAUGAACCAUAGAGAACUUGGAAAACAGUAGGUUUAACACCCAUACAAAUAAAUAAUGAGUUCAUUACAGUACUUAUGUGUUGGUUUUUUCUUUCUUUCACUAACGGAGCUUAUGAGAUUUCCUGUUGAGUUUUGUGUUCUGAAGUUUUCAAGUUUUGGGUAAAUAUUUGAUGGACUAUGGAAUAAGGAGUGGCAAGAGCCUAAGCUUUUAGAUGCCCAUGGCACCCCAAGAUAUUCAAGAAUAUCCAAAAGCCUAAGCUUGGGGAUGCCCAGGGAAGGCAUCCCCUCUUUCGUCUUCGUUUAUCGGUAACUUUACUUGGAGCUAUAUUUUUAUUCGCCACAUGAUAUGUGUUUUGCUUGGAGUGUCUUGUAUGAUAUUAGUCUUUGCCUUUUAGUUUACCACAAUCAUCCUUGCCGUACAUACCUUUUGGGAGAAACCCACUUGAUCGGAAUUUAUUAGAAUACUCUAUGUGCUUCACUUAUAUCUUUUGAGCUAAAUAGUUUUUGCUCUAGUGCUUCACUUAUAUCUUUUAGAGCACGGCAGUGGCUUAAUUUUGUAGAAAUUGUUAGUCUCUCUUGCUUCACUUAUAUUAUUUUGAGAGUCUUUUAUAACAGCAUGGUAUUUGCUAUGGUUAUGAAAUUGGUCCUAGAAUGAUGAGCAUCCAAGUUGGGUAUAAUAAAAACUAUCAUAGGAAGUGAAUUGGAUGCUAUGAUCAAUUUGAUACUUGAUAAUUGUUUUGAGAUAUGGAAGUAGUGAUAUUAGAGUCAUGCUAGUUGGGUGAUUAUGAAUUUAAAGAAUGCUUGUGUUGAAGUUAGCAAGUCCCGUAGCAUGCACGUAUGGUGAAAGUUGUGUAACAAAUUGAAACAUGAGGUGUUCUUAGAUUGUGCGUCCUUAUUAGUGGCGGUCGGGGACGAGUGAUGGUCUUUUCCUACCAAUCUAUCCCCCUAGGAGCAUGCGCGUAGUGCUUGGUUUUUGAUGACUUGUAGAUUUUGGCAAUAAGUAUAUGAGUUCUUUUUGACUAAUGUUGAGUCCAUGGAUUAUACGCACUCUCACCUUUCCAUCAUUGCUAGCCUCUUCGAUACCGUGCAUUGCCCUUUCUCACCUUAAGAGUUGGUGCAAACUUCACUGGUGCAUCCAAAACCCGUGAUAUGAUACGCUCUAUCACACAUAAACCUCCUUAUAUCUUCCUCAAAACAGCCACCGUACCUACCUAUUAUGGCAUUUCCAUAGCCAUUCCGAGAUAUAUUGCCAUGCAACUUUCCACCGUUCCGUUUAUCAUCAUGACACGCAUCAUCAUUGUCAUAUUGCCUUGCAUGAUCAUGUAGGUGACAUCGUAUUUGUGGCAAAGCCCCCAUGCAUAAUUUUUCAUACAUGUCACUAUUGAUUCAUUGCCCUUACCGGUACACCACCGGAGGCAUUCAUAUAGAGUCAUAUCUUGUUCUAGUUUUGAGUUGUAAUUCAUGAGUUGUAAAUAAAUAGAAGUGUGAUGAUCAUCAUUAUUAGAGCAUUGUCCCCAAAUAAAAAAAGAAAGGCCAAAUAAAAAAAGGCCAAAAAAGGAAAGGCCCAAAAAAAAGGGGGGGGGGGCAAUGUUACUAUCUCUUUUUCCACACUUGUGCUUCAAAGUAGCACCAUGUUCUUCAUAUAGAAAGUCUUUUAUGUUGUCACUUUCAUAUACUAGUGGGAAUUUUUCAUUAUAGAACUUGGCUUGUAUAUUCCUACGAUGGGCUUCCUUAAAAUGCCCUAGGUCUUCGUGAGCAAGCAAGUUGGAUGCACGCCCACUAGUUUUUUUUGUUGAGCUUUCAUACAUUUAUAGCUCUAGUUCAUCUGUUGCAUGGCAAUCCCUACUCCUCAUGUUAACAUCAAUUGAUGGGCAUCUCCAUAGCCCGUUGAUUAUCCUCGUCAAUGUGAGACUUUCUCCUUUUUUGUCUUCUCCACACAAUCCCCAUUAUCAUAGUCUAUUCCACCCAUAGUGCUAUAUCCAUGGCUCAUGCUCAUGUAUUGCGUGAAAGUUGAAAAAGUUUGAGAUUAUUUAAGUACGAAACAAUUGCUUGGCUUGUCAUCGGGGUGUACAAGAUGGGAGCAUUUUUGUGUGACGAAAAUGAAGCAUAGCCUAACUAUAUGAUUUUGUAGGGAUGAACUUUCUUUAGCCAUGUUAUUUUGAGAAGACAUGAUUGCUUUGAUUAGUAUGCUUGAAGUAUUACUAUUUCUUAUGUCAAUAUGAACUUUUAUUUUGAAUCAUUUGGAUCUGAACAUUCAUGCCACAAUAAAGAAAAUUACAUUGAGAAUUAUGCUAGGUAGCAUUCCACAUCAAAAAUUCUGUUUUUAUCAUUUACCUACUCGAGGACGAGCAGGAAUUAAGCUUGGAGAUGCUUGAUACAUCUCCAACGUAUCUAUAAUUUUUUAUUUUUCCAUGCUAUUAUAUUACCCGUUUUCGAUGUUUAUGGGCUUUACUUUACACAUUUAUAUCAUUUUUGGAACUAACCUACUAACCGGAGGCCCAGCCCGUAUUGCUGUUUUUUGCCUAUUUUAGUGUUUCGAAGAAAAGGAAUAUCAAACGGAGUCCAAACGGAAUGAAACCUUCGGGAGUGUGAUUUUUGGAACGAACGUGAUCUAGAGGACUUGGAGUGCAAGUCAACAAGCAAUCGAGGAGGCCAUGAGGGUGGAGCCCCCCCUACUGGGUGUGCCCCCUAUCUCGUGGGCCCUUUGGGCGUCCACCGACCUACUUCUUCCUCCUAUAUAUACCCACGUACCCCGAAAACAUCUGGAUCGACCACGAAAAACUAUUUCCACCACCGUAACCUUCUGUAUCCGCGAUAUCCCAUCUUGGAGCCUUCGUCGGUGCUCCGUCGGAGGGGGGAUCGACCACGGAGGGCUUCUACAUCAACACAAUAGCCUCUUCGAUGAGUUGUGAGUAGUUUACCACAGACCUUCGGGUCCAUAGUUAUUAGCUAUAUGGCUUCUUCUCUCUCUUUGAAUCUCAAUACCAUGUUCUCCUCGAUCUUCUUGGAGAUCUAUUCGAUGUAACUCUUUUUGCGGUGUGUUUGUCGAGAUCCGAUGAAUUGUGGGUUCAUGAUCAAGUUUAUCUAUGAGAAAUAUUUGAAUCUCCUCUGAAUUCUUUUAUGUGUGAUUAAGUUAUCUUUGCAAGUCUCUUCGAAUUAUCAGUUUGGUUUGGCCUACUAGAUUGAUCUUUCUUGCAAUGGGAGAAGUGCUUAGCUUUGGGUUCAAUCUUGCGGUGUCCUUUCCCAGUGACAGCAGGGGCAGCAAGGCACGUAUUGUAUUGUUGCCAUCGAGGAUAAAAAGAUGGGGUUUAUAUCAUAUUGCAUGAGUUUAUCCCUCUACAUCAUGUCAUCUUUCUUAAUGCGUUACUCUGUUCUUUAUGAACUUAAUACUCUAGAUGCAUGCUGGAUAGCGGUCGAUGUGUGGAGUAAUGGUAGUAGAUGCAGGCAUGAGUCGGUCUACUUUUCACGAACGUGAUGCCUAUAUACAUGAUCAUGCCUAGAUAAUCUCAUAAUUAUUCGCUUUUCUAUCAAUUGCUCGACAGUAAUUUGUUCACCCACCGUAAUACUUAUGCUAUCUUGAGAGAAGCCACUAGUGAAACCUAUGGCCCCCGGGUCUAUCUUUUAUCAUAUAAGCUUCCAAUCUACUUUUAUUUGCAUCUUUAUUUUUCCAAUCUAUAUUAUAAAAUACCAAAAAUAUAUUUAUCUUAUCAUAUUAUCUCUAUCAGAUCUCACUUUCGCAAGUGGCCGCGAAGGGAUUGACAACCCCUUUAUUGCGUUGGUUGCGAGUUCUUGUUUGUUUGUGUAGGUGCGUGGGAGUUUUGAGGAGCCUCCUACUGGAUUGAUACCUUUGUUCUCAAAAACUGAGGGAAAUACUUACGUUACCAUUGCUGCAUCACCCUUUCCUCUUCAACGAAAACCAACGCAAGCUCAAGACGUAGCAAAGUGCAACAAGGACGGGUCACCUCAGUGUUUGUGUGUGUGUGUGUGUGUGUGUGUCAGGGCGCCGAGUAUAUCACGCUUGCUAUUUCCGGAUGGCACAUUACUUUUUUUCCUGCCACAACAAUAGAAGGUAUGGAAGUAUGAGAUGCUCUUGCUAUCUAUAGAAGGAAUACAUGACAAUUUAUAAACCCCGCAAAGUGCUCUAUCUUAUUUGGGAACAGGUGCUGACCUGCUGAUCAAGCUACUUUAUCCCUGGCAUUGAAGGUGCAGAAUCUACAUUUUGAGGAGCGCUACCUUGGGCUCCUUACACCCACUGGCUGGAUGUCUAAGGGCCGGUUCCAAAGCUUACAAGAGCAACUCAGUAAGAGGAUUCUGGCUGGGGAAAAGGCGCAUCACAAGGAGGGAAACAAAUAUUGAUUAAAGUUGUUGUCCAGUCCUUGCCCACGUACUUGAUGGGGGUGUUCUCGCUACCGCGUAGUGUUUGUGAUGAUCUCACACGAAUGGUAAGAAAUUUCUAGUGUGGGCGAAGGAAGGAAGAAGAAAGAUGCACUAAAGGGCAUGGGAUACCAUGAUCAAGCCGAAGGAGCAGGGCUGGCUCGGUUUUCAGGACUCUUGCUUGUUCAACCAAGUGUUGCUCGCACGUCAUGUUUGGUGCCUUAUCUCUAACCUCGGUAGCUUGUGUGCGCGGGUACUAAAGGCUUGAUAUUGCCCUGAUGGACGCCUUGAGGACACGGUCUUCUCUAGCAAUGCUUCAACCACUUGGCAGUCCAUCAUCCAUGGCCUUUAUCUCCUCAAGAAGGCCCAAUCCGACCCAUUAGUGGUGGUGCGUCAGUCCACAUUUAGCGUGACAUGUGGAUUCCUCAUCCGCAACCCAUGUCCCGGUCUCCUUGCGAGGCCAAUGCCAUCUUAGGAGAGUUAGCUAGCUACUGGAUGGACAUGCAUGCAAACUGGAAGGUUGCUAUUGCAGCAACAUUCCCUACAAACAGAUGCGACAUAGUCUCUGAAAAUCAAUGCUUCGCCUGUUGGGGAACGUAGUAAUUUCAAAAAAAAACAUUCCUACGCACACGCAAGAUCAUGGUGAUGCAUAGCAAUGAGAGGGGAGAGUAAUGUCCACGUACCCUCGUAGACCGUAAGCGGAAGCAUUAUGACAACGCGGUUGAUGUAGUCGUACGUCUUCACGAUCCGACCGAUCCAAGUACCGAACGUACGGCACCUCCGAGUUCAGCACACGUUCAGCUCGAUGACGAUCCCCGGACUCCGAUCCAGCAAAUUGUCGGGGAUGAGUUCUGUCAGCACAACGGCGUGGUGACGAUGAUGAUGUUCUACCGGCGUAGGGCUUCGCCUAAACUCCGCGACGAUAUGACCAAGGUGGAAUAUGGUGGAGGGGGGCACCACACACGGCUAAGGAACGAUCACGUAGAUCAACUUGUGUGUUCUAGGGUGCCCCCUGCCCCCGUAUAUAAAGGAGCAAGGGGGGGUGCGGCCAGCCCUAGGAGGAGGCACGCCGGAGGAGUCCUACUCCCACCGGGAGUAGGACUCCCCCCUUUCCCUAGUUGGACUAGGACUUGGGGGGAAGNNNNNNNNNNNNNNNNNNNNNNNNNNNNNNNNNNNNNNNNNNNNNNNNNNNNNNNNNNNNNNNNNNNNNNNNNNNNNNNNNNNNNNNNNNNNNNNNNNNNNNNNNNNNNNNNNNNNNNNNNNNNNNNNGGGGGGCGCCGCCCCCCUCCUUGUCCUAUUCGGACUUGGGGGGGGGGGGGGGGGCGCGCGGCUGUCCCUAGGCCUCCUCUCCUCUUCCUCCAUUAGGCCCAAUAAGGCCCAUUAGGUCACCGGGGGGUUCCGGUAACCUCCCGGUACUCCGGUAAAAUGCCGAUUUCACCCGGAACACUUCGGAUGUCCAAACAUAGGCUUCCAAUAUAUCAAUCUUUAUGUCUCGACCAUUUCGAGACUCCUCGUCAUGUCCGUGAUCACAUCCAGGACUCCGAACAAACUUCGGUACAUCAAAACUUAUAAACUAAUAAUAAAACUGUCAUCGUAAUGUUAAGCGUGCGGACCCUACGGGUUCGAGAACUAUGUAGACAUGACCUAGAACUAUUCUCGGUCAAUAACCAAUAGCGGAACCUGGAUGCUCAUAUUGGCUCCUACAUAUUCUACGAAGAUCUUUAUCGGUCAAACCGCAUAACAACAUACGUUGUUCCCUUUGUCAUCGGUAUGUUACUUGCCCGAGAUUCGAUCAUCGGUAUCCAAUACCUAGUUCAAUCUCGUUACCGGCAAGUCUCUUUACUCGUUACAUAAUGCAUCAUUCCAUAACUAACUCAUUAGCUACAUUGCUUGCAAGGCUUAUAGUGAUGUGUAUUACCGAGAGGGCCCAGAGAUACCUCUCCGACAAUCGGAGUGACAAAACCUAAUCUCGAAAUACGCCAACCCAACAUGUACCUUUGGAGACACCUGUAGUACUCCUUUAUAAUCACCCAGUUACGUUGUGACGUUUGGUAGCACCCAAUGUGUUCCUCCGGUAAACGGGAGUUGCAUAAUCUCAUAGUUACAGGAACAUGUGUAAGUCAUGAAGAAAGCAAUAGCAAUAUACUAACCGAUCAAGUGCUAGGCUAACGGAAUAGGUCAUGUCAAUCACAUCAUUCUCCUAAUGAUGUGAUCCCGUUAAUCAAAUGACAACACAUGUCUAUGGUUAGGAAACAUAACCAUCUUUGAUUAAUGAGCUAGUCAAGUAGAGGCAUACUAGUGACGUUAUGUGGGUCUAUGUAUUCACACAUGUAUUAUGUUUCGGUUAAUACAAUUCUAGCAUGAAUAAUAAACAUUUAUCAUGAUAUGAGGAAAUAAAUAACAACUUUAUUAUUGCCUCUAGGGCAUAUUUCCUUCAGUCUCCCACUUGCACUAGAGUCAAUAAUCUAGAUUACACAGUAAUGAUUCUAACACCCAUGGAGUCUUGGUGCCGAUCAUGUUUUGCUCGUGGAAGAGGCUUAGUCAAUGGGUCUGCAACAUUCAGAUCCGUAUGUAUUUUGCAAAUCUCUAUGUCUCCCACCUGGACUUGAUCCCGGAUGGAAUUGAAGCGUCUCUUGAUGUGCUUGGUCCUCUUGUGAAAUCUGGAUUCUUUUGCCAAGGCAAUUGCACCAGUAGUGUCACAGAAGAUCUUCAUUGGUCCCGAUGCACUAGGUAUGACACCUAGAUCGGAAAUGAACUCCUUCAUCCAGACUCCUUCAUUUGCUGCUUCUGAAGCAGCUAUGUACUCCGCUUCACAUGUAGAUCCCGCCACGACGCUUUGUUUAGAACUACACCAACUUACAGCUCCACCGUUUAAUAAAAACACGUAUCCAGUUUGCGAUUUAGAAUCGUCCGGAUCAGUGUCAAAGCUUGCAUCGACGUAACCAUUUACGACUAGCUCUUUGUCACCUCCAUAUACGAGAAACAUAUCCUUAGUCCUUUUCAGGUAUUUCAGGAUGUUCUUGACCGCUGUCUAUGUUGGGGAACGUAGUAAUUUCAAAAAAUUUCCUACGCACACGCAAGAUCAUGGUGAUGGCAUAGCAACGAGAGGGGAGAGUGUUGUCCACGUACCCUCGUAGACCGUAAGAGGAAGCGUUAGCACAACGCGGUUGAUGUAGUCGUACGUCUUCAUGAUCCGACCGAUCCAAGCACCGAACGUACGACACCUCCGAGUUCAGCACACGUUCAGCUCGAUGACAAUCCCCGGGCUCCGAUCCAGCAAAGCUUCGGGGAUGAGUUCCGUCAGCAUGAUGGCGUGGUGACGGUGAUGAUGUACUACCGGCGCAGGGCUUCGCCUAAACUCCGCGACGAUAUGACCGAGGUGGAAUAUGGUGGAGGGGGGCACCGCACACGGCUAAGGAAUGAUCCGUAGAUCAACUUGUGUGUUAUGGGGUGCCCCCUGCCCCCGUAUAUAAAGGAGGGAGGGGGAGGUGCGGCCGGCCCCCUUGGGGUGCGCCUGGAGGAGUCCUACUCCCACCGGGAGUAGGACUCCCCCCUCUUGCCUUGGUGGAGAAGGAAAGGGGGGAGGGGAAAGAGGAAAGGGGGCGCCGCCCCCCCUCCUUGUCCUAUUCAGACUAGGGGGGGAGGGGACGCGCGGCCUGCCCUGGCCGGCCCUCCUCUUCUCCCUCAUGGCCCACUAAGGCCCAUUAACCCCCGGGAGGGUUCCGGUAACCCCCCGGUGUUCCGGUAAAUUCCCGAUUUCACCCGGAACCUUUCCGAUGUCCAAACAUAGGCUUCCCAUAUAUCAAUCUUUAUGUCUCGACCAUUUCGAGACUCCUCGUCAUGUUCGUGAUCACAUCCGGAACUCCGAACAAACUUCGAUACAUCAAAACUUAUAAACUCAUAAUAAAACUGUCAUCGUAACGUUAAGCGUGCGGACCCUACGGGUUCGAGAACUAUGUAGACAUGACCUAGAACUAUUCUCGGUCAAUAACCAAUAGCGGAACCUGGAUGCCCAUAUUGGUUCCUACAUAUUCUACGAAGAUCUUUAUCGGUCAAACCGCAUAACAACAUACAUUGUUCCCUUUGUCAUCGGUAUGUUACUUGCCCAAGAUUUGAUCGUCGGUAUCCAAUACCUAGUUCAAUCUCGUUACCGGCAAGUCUCUUUACUCGUUCCGUAAUGCAUCAUCCCGUAACCAACUCAUUUGGUCACAUUGCUUGCAAGGCUUAUAAUGAUGUGCAUUACCGAGAGGGCCCAGAGAUACCUCUCCGACAAUCGGAGUGACAAAACCUAAUCUCGAAAUACGCCAACUCAACAUGUACCUUCGGAGACACCUGUAGUACUCCUUUAUAAUCACCCAGUUACAUUGUGACGUUUGGUAGUACCCAAAGUGUUCCUCCGGUAAACGGGAGUUGCAUAAUUCUCAUAGUUACAGGAACAUGUAUAAGUCAUGAAGAAAGCAAUAGCAAUAUACUAAACGAUCAAGUGCUAGGCUAACGGAAUGGGUCAUGUCAAUCACAUCAUUCUCCUAAUGAUGUGAUCCCAUUAAUCAAAUGACAACACAUGUCUAUGGUUAGGAAACAUAACCAUCUUUGAUUAACGAGCUAGUCAAGUAGAUGCAUACUAGUGACUAUAUGUUGGUCUAUGUAUUCACACAUGUAUUAUGUUUCCGGUUAAUACAAUUCUAUCAUGAAUAAUAAACAUUUAUCAUGAUAUAAGGAAAUAAAUAAUAACUUUAUUAUUGCCUCUAGGGCAUAUUUCCUUCAGUCUAGUGAUCCACUCCUGGAUUACUUUGGUACCUUCCUACUAAGCUUAUUGCUAAGCACACAUCAGGUCUGGUACACAGCAUUGCAUACACGAUAGAGCCUAUGGCUGAAGCAUAGGGAACAUCUUUCAUUUUCUCUCUAUCUUCUGCUGUCGUCGGCCAUUGAGUUUGACUCAACUUCACACCUUGUAGUACGGGCAAGAACCCUUUCUUUGCCUGAUCCAUUUUGAACUUUUUCAAAACUUUAUCAAGGUAUGUGCUUUGUGAAAGUCCAAUUAAGCGUCUUGAUCUAUCUCUAUAAAUCUUGAUGCCCAAUAUAUAAGCAGCUUCACCGAGGUCUUUCAUAGAAAAACUUUUAUUCAAGUAUCCCUUUAUGCUAUCCAGAAAUUCUAUAUCAUUUCAACUAAUAAUAUGUCAUCUACAUAUAAUAUCAGAAAUGCUACAGAGCUCCCACUCACUUUCUUGUAAAUACAGGCUUCUCCAAAAGUCUGUAUAAAACCAUAUGCUUUGAUCACACUAUCAAAGCGUUUAUUCCAACUCCGAGAUGCUUGCACCAGUCCAUAAAUGGAUCGCUGGAGCUUGCACACUUUGUUAGAAUCUUUUGGAUCAACAAAACCUUCUGGCUGCAUCAUAUACAACUCUUCUUCCAGAAAUCCAUUCAAAAAUGCAGUUUGACAUCCAUUUGCCAAAUUUCAUAAUCAUAAAAUGCAGCAAUUGCUAACAUGAUUCGGACAGACUUAAGCAUCGCUACGGGUGAGAAAGUCUCAUCGUAGUCAACCCCUUGAACUUGUCGAAAACCUUUUGCAACAAGUCGAGCUUUAUAGACAGUUACAUUACCAUCAGCGUCAGUCUUCUUCUUAAAAAUCCUUUUAUUCUCAGUGGCUUGCCGAUCAUCGGGAAAGUCAACCAAAGUCCAUACUUUUUUCUCAUACAUGGAUCCCAUCUCAGAUUUCAUGGCCUCUAGCCAUUUUGCGGAAUCUGGACUCAUCAUCGCUUCCUCAUAGUUCGUAAGGUCAUCAUGGUCAAGUAACAUGACUUUCAGAAUAGGAUUACCGUACCACUCUGGUGCGGAUCUUACUCUGGUAGACCUACGAGGUUCAGUAGAAACUUGAUCUGAAGUUUCAUGAUCAAUAUCAUUAGCUUCCUCACUGAUUGGUGUAGUUGUCACAGGAACCGGUUCUUGUGAUGAACUACUUUCCAAUAAGGGAGCAGGUACAGUUACCUCAUCAAGUUCUACUUUCCUCCCACUCACUUCUUUCGAGAGAAACUCCUUCUCUAGAAAGGAUCCGAAUUUUGCAACAAAAAGCUUGCCUUCAGAUCUGUGAUAGAAGGUGUACCCAACAGUCUCUUUUGGGUAUCCUAUGAAGACACAUUUCUCUUAUUUGGGUUCAAGCUUAUCUGGUUGAAGUUUCUUCACAUAAGCAUCGCAGCCCCAAACUUUAAGAAAUGACAACUUUGGUUUCUUGCCUAACCACAGUUCAUGAGGCGUCGUCUCAACGGAUUUUGAUGGUGCCCUAUUUAACGUGAAUGCGGCCGUCUCUAAAGCAUAACCCCAAAACGAUAGCGGUAAAUCAGUAAGAGACAUCAUAGAUCACACCAUAUCUAGUAAAGUACGAUUAUGACGUUCGGACACACCAUUUCGUUGUGGUGUUCCGGGUGGCGUGAGUUGCGAAACUAUUCCGCAUUGUUUCAAAUGUAAACCAAACUCGUAACUCAAAUAUUCUCCUCCACGAUCAGAUCGUAGAAAUUUUAUUUUCUUGUUACGAUGAUUUUCCACUUCACUCUUAAAUUCUUUGAACUUUUCAAAUGUUUCAGACUUGUGUUUCAUUAAGUAGAUAUACCCAUAUCUGCUCAAAUCAUCUGUGAAUGUGAGAAAAUAACGAUACCCGCCGCGAGCCUCAACAUUCAUUGGACCACAAACAUCAGUAUGUAUGAUUUCCAACAAAUCAGUUGCUCGCUCCAUAGUUCCGGAGAACGGCGUUUUAGUCAUCUUGCCCAUGAGGCACGGUUCGCAAGUACCAAGUGAUUCAUAAUCAAGUGAUUCCAAAAGCCCAUCAGUAUGGAGUUUCUUCAUGCGCUUUACACCGAUAUGACCUAAAUGGCAGUGCCACAAAUAAGUUGCACUAUCAUUAUCAACUCUGUAUCUUUUGGUUUCAACACUAUGAAUAUGUGUAUCACUACUAUUGAGAUUCAAUAAAAAUAGACCACUCUUCAAGGGUGCAUGACCAUAAAAGAUAUUACUCAUAUAAAUAGAACAACCAUUAUUCUCUGACUUAAAUGAAUAACCGUCUCGCAACAAACAAGAUCCAGAUAUAAUGUUCAUGCUCAACGCUGCCACCAAAUAACAAUUAUUUAGGUCUAAAACUAAUCCCGAUGGUAGAUGUAGAGGUAGCGUGUCGACCGCGAUCACAUCGACUUUGGAACCAUUUCCCACGCGCAUCGUCACCUCGUCCUUAGCCAAUUUUCGCUUAAUCCGUAGUCCCCGUUUCGAGUUGCAAAUAUUAGCAACAGAACCAGUAUCAAAUACCCAGGUACUACUGCAAGUAUUAGUAAGGUACACAUCAAUAACAUGUAUAUCACAUAUACCUUUGUUCACUUUGCCAUCCUUCUUAUCCGCCAAAUAAUUGGGGCAGUUCCACUUCCAGUGUCCAGUCUGCUAGCAGUAGAAGCACUCAGUCUCAGGCUUAGGUCCAGACUUGGGUUUCUUCUCUUGAGUAGCAACUUGUUUGCUGUUCUUCUUGAAGUUCCCCUUCUUCUUCCCUUUGCCCUUUUUCUUGAAACUGGUGGUCUUGUUAACCAUCAACACUUGAUGCUCCUUCUUGAUUUCUACCUCCGCGGCUUUUAGCAUUGCGAAGAGCUCGGGAAUAGUCUUGUCCAUCCCUUGCAUAUUAUAGUUCAUCACGAAGCUCUUGUAGCUUGGUGGCAGUGAUUGAAGAAUUCCGUCAAUGACACUAUCAUCUAGAAGAUUAACUCCCAGUUGAAUCAAGUGAUUAUUACACCCAGACAUUUUGAGUAUGUGUUCACUGACAGAACUAUUCUCCUCCAUCUUGCAGCUAUAGAACUUAUUGGAGACUUCAUAUCUCUCAAUCCGGGCAUUUGCUUGAAAUAUUAACUUCAACUCCUGGAACAUCUCAUAUGCUCCAUGACGUUCAAAACAUCGUUGAAGACCCGGUUCUAAGCCGUAAAGCAUGGCACACUGAAUUAUCGAGUAGUCAUCAGCUUUGCUCUGCCAGACAUUCUUAACAUCGUCAGUUGCAUCACCAGCAGGCCUGGAACCCAGCGGUGCUUCCCGGACGUAAUUCUUCUGUGCAGCAAUGAGGAUAAUCCUCAGGUUACGGACCCAGUCCGUGUAAUUGCUACCAUCAUCUUUCAACUUUGCUUUCUCAAGGAACGCAUUAAAAUUCAACGGAACAACAGCACAAGCCAUCUAUCUACAACAAACAUAGACAAGCAAUAUACUAUCAGGUACUAAGUUCAUGAUAAAUUUAAGUUCAAUUAAUCAUAUUACUUAAGAACUCCCACUUAGGUAGACAUCCCUCUAAUCUUCUAAGUGAUUACGUGAUCCAUAUCAACUACACCAUGUCCAUCGUCACGUGAGAUGGAGUAGUUUCAACGGUGAACAUCAAUAUGUUGAUCAUAUCUACUAUAUGAUUCACGCUCGACCUUUCAGUCUCCGUGUUCCGAGGCCAUAUCUGUUAUAUGCUAGGCUUGUCAAGUUUAACUUGAGUAUUCCGCGUGUGCAACUGUUUUGCACCCGUUGUAUUUGAACGUAGAGCCUAUCACACCCGAUCAUCACGUGGUGUCUCAGCACGAAGAACUUUCGCAACAGUGCAUACUCAGGGAGAACACUUCUUGAUAAUUUAGUGAGAGAUCAUCUUAAAAUGCUACCGUCAAUCAAAGCAAGAUAAGAUGCAUAAAGGAUAAACAUCACAUGCAAUCAAUAUAAGUGAUAUGAUAUGGCCAUCAUCAUCUUGUGCUUGUGAUCUCCAUCUUCGAAGCACCGUCUUGAUCACCAUCAUCACCGGCGCGACACCUUGAUCUCCAUCGUAGCAUCGUUGUCGUUACGCCAUCUAUUGCUUCUACGACUAUCGCUACCGCUUAGUGAUAAAGUAAAGCAAUUACAGGGCAUUUGCAUUUCAUACAAUAAAGCGACAACCAUAUGGCUCCUGCCAGUUGCCGAUAACUUCGGUUACAAAACAUGAUCAUCUCAUACCAUAAAAUAUAGCAUCACGUCUUGACCAUAUCACAUCACAACAUGCCCUGCAAAAACAAGUUAGACGUCCUCUACUUUGUUGUUGCAAAUUUUACGUGGCUGCUACGGGCUUAGCAAGAACCGUUCUUACCUACGCAUCAAAUCCACAAUGAUAGUUCGUCAAGUUAAUGCUGUUUUAACCUUCGCAAGGACCGGGCGUAGCCACACUCGGUUCAGCUAAAGUGAGAGAGACAGACACCCGCCAGUCACCUUUAAGCACGAGUGCUCGUAACGGUGAAACCAGUCUCGCGUAAGCGUACGCGUAAUGUCAGUCCGGGCCGCUUCAUCUCACAAUACCGCUGAGCCAAAGUAUGACAUGCUGGUAAGCAGUAUGACUUGUAUCGCCCACAACUCACUUGUGUUCUACUCGUGCAUAUGACAUCUACGCAUAAAACCUGGCUCGGAUGCCACUGUUGGGGAACGUAGUAAUUUAAAAAAAAAUCCUACGCACACACAAGAUCAUGGUGAUGCAUAUCAACGAGAGGGGAGAGUAAUGUCCACGUACCCUCGUAGACCGAAAGUGGAAGCGUUAUGACAACGCGGUUGAUGUAGUCGUACGUCUUCACGAUCCGACCGAUCCAAGUACCGAACGUACGGCACCUCCAAUUCAGCACACGUUCAGCUCGAUGACGAUCCCCGGACUCCGAUCCAGCAAAGUGUCGGGGAUGAGUUCCGUUAGCACGACGGCGUGGUGACGAUGAUGAUGUUCUACCGGCGCAGGGCUUCGCCUAAACUCCGCGACGAUAUGACCGAGGUGGAAUAUGGUGGAGGGGGGCACCGCACACGGCUAAGGAACGAUCACGUAGAUCAACUUGUGUGUUCUAGGGUGCCCCCCCGCCCCCGUAUAUAAAGGAGCAAGGGGGGGUGCGGCCGGCCCUAGGAGGAGGCGCGCCGGAGGAGUCCUACUCCCACCAGGAGUAGGACUCCCCCCUUUCCCUAGUUUGGCUAGNNNNNNNNNNNNNNNNNNNNNNNNNNNNNNNNNNNNNNNNNNNNNNNNNNNNNNNNNNNNNNNNNNNNNNNNNNNNNNNNNNNNNNNNNNGGCCUCCUCUCCUCUUCCUCCAUUAGGCCCAAUAAGGCCCAUUAGGUCACCGGGGGGUUCCGGUAACCUCCCGGUACUCCGGUAAAAUGCCGAUUUCACCCGGAACACUUCCGAUGUCCAAACAUAGGCUUCCAAUAUAUCAAUAUUUAUGUCUCGACCAUUUCGAGACUCCUCGUCAUGUCCGUGAUCACAUCCAGGACUCCGAACAAACUUCGGUACAUCAAAACUUAUAAACUCAUAAUAAAACUGUCAUCGUAACGUUAAGCGUGCGGACCCUACGGGUUCGAGAACUAUGUAGACAUGACCUAGAACUAUUCUCGGUCAAUAACCAAUAGCGGAACCUGGAUGCUCAUAUUGGCUCCUACAUAUUCUACGAAGAUCUUUAUCGAUCAAACCGCAUAACAACAUACGUUGUUCCCUUUGUCAUCGGUAUGUUACUUGCCCGAGAUUCGAUCGUCGGUAUCCAAUACCUAGUUCAAUCUCGUUACCGGCAAGUCUCUUUACUCGUUACGUAAUGCAUCAUUCCGUAACUAACUCAUUAGCUACAUUGCUUGCAAGGCUUAUAGUGAUGUGCAUUACCGAGAGGGCCCAGAGAUACCUCUCCGACAAUCGGAGUGACAAAACCUAAUCUCGAAAUACGCCAACCCAACAUGUACCUUUGGAGACACCUGUAGUACUCCUUUAUAAUCACCCAGUUACAUUGUGACGUUUGGUAGCACCCAAAGUGUUCCUCCGGUAAACGGGAGUUGCAUAAUCUCAUAGUUACAGGAACAUGUAUAAGUCAUGAAGAAAGCAAUAGCAAUAUACUAAACGAUCAAGUGCUAGGCUAACGGAAUGGGUCAUGUCAAUCACAUCAUUCUCCUAAUGAUGUGAUCCCGUUGAUCAAAUGACAACACAUGUCUAUGGUUAGGAAACAUAACCAUCUUUGAUUAAUGAGCUAGUCAAGUAGAGGCAUACUAGUGACGUUAUGUUGGUCUAUGUAUUCACACAUGUAUUAUGUUUCGGUUAAUACAAUUCUAUCAUGAAUAAUAAACAUUUAUCAUGAUAUGAGAAAAUAAAUAAUAACUUUAUUAUUGCCUCUAGGGCAUAUUUCCUUCAUCGCCAUGGCAAGCGGAGGAUUGUAUUAGACGGCUCAACAGAAUGGAGCCUUUUCGGUGAAUAGCACUUAUCGUCUCAGCCUCUACGAGCGUUUCUUGCCAUCCUCAGUUGCAAUGAAAAGGGCACCAGAUGGGCGACAUGUCGGGCACUUAUAUGGAGGCGCCCUGCUCCACCCAAGAUGGAUAUAUUUGCAUGGAACUCGUUGGCCAGUUGGGCAAAUAAGAAAACCAGAACGUUGGAGAUCGUUGAUGUGUGCCCAUUAUGUGCGAUGGAGCGGGAGAACACACUCCAUGUUUUUUGCAGGUGAGCGGUGGAGCUCCGGCGAGACAUACAAAAACAUUCAAACCUGCUGGAUCUUGCAACUGUGCGUCCAACGGGGGUGGAGUGGCUCUUUGAUGUCUUGCAUAAUCUGAAUGAUGAUGACCGUAUACGUGUGCUAAUGGUUCCGUGGUGCUCCGCCCACAUAUGAACCGAAAUUGUCCACGACAAAAAGCCCCCCCCCCCUCCGGUCGAAGCUUCCUGCCGUUUCUUGCUCAGCUAUGAGGCGUCACUGGUCACCCUCAAGGUCAUGUAAGACAAUAUUAUAGUCAAUUAUUAAUACUAAUUGGGCGACACGAGGGUAACGCACGGGCACAAACUCAAACUCAUACCCUACUCACUAAUAGUCGGGUUACCCAUGGGCAUGGGCGUGACCCAUGGGCGGAGAGCACGGCCAAUAUCCUACCCAUUCGGUUCGGAUACCCAUGGGUCCAAUUGCUGGGUUGACAGGUGUUGCACCUCAACAGAUGUUACUGGUGCAUACCAACAUUCAAAAAAAAAACUUUUUUUGAGAGAGAAAAAAAAACGUUGUUACUGUACUGGGUGGUAAAACCGUAAAUCACUGGGGGAGGAAGUUGCGCGGAAGCUCGCGUGGGCGACGGGCAGUGCUCGGCAGAGCCCCUUCUUAGUGCGGGUGCAGCUUCAUGAGGGGUGGUGUCGUCGCCUUGCUUGGAAUGGCAAUGCGCGUAGCAACCACGCAGCGCUCCACCCUUUCCAAAUCGAUGCCGCGGCAAAGCAUCCGACGCGAGCUGCCUGCCAUACGUACAUUAAUACCAGAGGCCGAGCUCGCGCUGGUCCUUUCCUUGGUGACUCUCCUCGGCUCCUCCUCCUAGUCUCCACCACUGCCUUCCCGGAGCUGCCUGUUCCCAUGGCGCUCUCCCGCCGCAUUCUCCUCUUCGUCUCCCUCGUCGCCAUGACGGCGGUCACCGGCACCUCCGAGAUCAUCGUGACCCAGUGCUACCCGCCGCCCACGCCCACUGUCAACGGCAGCACCAGCGCGUUCCGCCGCGAUCUCCUCUCGCUACUCGACGCCCUCCCCUCGGCCGCCGCGCCGACGGGCUUCGCCUCCAUGCGGACCGGCGGCGCGUUCGCCCGCGGCCUCUGCUUCGGCGACCCCGCGCCAGACCCGUGCUUCCGCUGCCUGUCUGACGCCGGCAGGAAGAUCACCGACCUGUGCGGAGACGUCAACCGGCGCGCGGGCUUCCUGAUCGACGGCUGCUUCCCGGGCUACGCGGACACCAACGCGUCCUCCGCCGGCGCGGACGACAACGACAUCAGUGGCGUGACAUUCUCCGGCGACGCCCUCCGGCGCUUCGACAACGUCGACGUGCAGAAGCUCGUGGCCGUGGCGCGGUCCCUGGUCCCGCGGUCCGCGAACGGCCAGGUGGCCGCCGCCGACGCGACUGCCACGGCGAGCAACGGCGACACGGUGCGCAUGCUGGCACAGUGCGCGACGGACAGCGAGCCGGCGGAGUGCGCCCGGUGCCUGCAGGAUUCGUCGCUGCAGAUGGCCAAGAGCUGGAGGCUCACGCUCACCGCCGACGCCGUGCAAGGAAGCGUGGCCGCGGUUCUGGGCUCGAACUGCUACCUCCGCUUCGAGAUAUCGGCACCGCCGCUGCCCGUGAGAGAGAAGAGGACCAUGUUUAUCUUGAUACUCAUAUUAAAAUGGCCGUAUGCAUCCUUUGUUGGUGCAGAGGCUGGGAAGUGAAAAUCUCCCCAUUUUAAGCUAGCUGUGUUGAUCGUUCUUUCUCGACACAGAAGAUGGCGACCCCAGAGGCGACUCGAGAGACGCCCGCGGCGAACGUCGCUAGCCGGCGGCCGGAACCUGCGGAUCUGUCUGCGAGGCGUGUUGGGGGGCGGUUCUGGGUGCUCGCGGACUCGGAUGAAGAGGAGGACGACGACGGGGAUCCUGCGGGCAGAUCUCCGGCGGACUACUCGCCAACUCCUUUCGACGUGAUUUGCGAGGCUUUCAACACUGGAUACUCGGAGGAAGAAGUCGCCGCGUUGGUCGAUGAAACUGUGUCGGGCGAUGAUCCGGCGCGGAUUGGGCUGCGUUCUCAGGAUAGGGUGGAGGUGGUUCGCCGGAUUAUCCACCGGAGGACGGCGGCGACGGCGAUCCGGCCUUGGAAAGGGCCUCUACCUAAGGUAUGUAUCCAACCAGUUACUUUGUUCGAUUUCUUCCCGCAAGAUGAUUGGAGUCUCGUAGUGCGUAAGAAGAAGAAGAAGAGAGGGGCGGCGGCCGAGAUCAGGGCGGCCAGGAACGAUCGUUUGAAUCUCCUCCUGGGCCACGAAGGGGCCGUUGAGGAGUGGGCCGAUUGUCGGAUUGUGCAUGGGUAUGAGGCCCAUCAGGGGGGUGUUGAUGAGGGCCUGGUUGGACCGGACUCGACUGGGUAUGUGGCCCAGGAGAGCCGCGUCGUGCCCUCUCAGCCCGACGUGAUCUCAUGCACGUACGAGGAAAACUGUGUCCUUCUCGCUCGUGCGCCGCCGUGUUCUAGGGUUCGAAAGGCUGGGACGAAAGGUUUCCCUCCCUGUGGUGAUCGUCGGGCUCGGCGAAUCCGGCCGCUGCCAGGUAUGGCAGGCCGUGGGGAGGCUCCGCCGCCAGCCAAGCGGCCCUCUUCCGGCGCUGCGGGUCGGGGUGGAGCGGCCCCUCCGCCGGCGGCGGGUGCCGGACGUGGCGUCCUGGUGCAGCCUGGCCAAAGGCCGCCGGCGGCUGGGUCCGUCGCGAUUGGUUCCUCAGGCCGAGGCGCGUGCCCCGUGGGUGCGCGGCCUCCGGGACAAGCUCCCUUGCAGCCGGCCUCUGGGAGGGGAGGCAUGAGGCCGCCGGCGCUGGGCAUGGUGCCCACUGCCCAUGCUGCCGGUCGGGGUGGGGUGAGACCACCGGCGCCAGGUGCGGCGCCCUCCGUUCCCCAGGCUGCGGGUCGUGGAGGCCCUCGACCCCCCCGCGCCGGGGGCUUCUGGCGAGGUUACGGCUGGCCGCGGUGGCGGACCUCGGCCUGCUGGAGGCGUGCCGGCGACCACAGGCAAACCGCCGCCCCAUUACGUUGCUAGGCCGGCGCAGAACCGGUCCGGUCAGACUCAACAAAGAGCCCAACGAUCCGCCCCGAAACCAGUGGGGGGAUGAUGGGUAUGAUGCGUAUGGUGAAGGACAGCACCGAGGAUCCUCUUCUACGGGAGGAGGGCGUGGAUAUGCCUGGCAGAGUGACGGGUCGGCUGAGAGACCGUUUCUUGGCCCGGCAGGUGGUUUUGUUGAGGGGGCUUCCGGCCCGGAUCACCGUCAGAGAGGAGGCUUUCGUGGCCAUCGUGGUGGUCGGGGUGGGGGUCGUGGGCGAUUUCGCCGCCUGCCCCCGCCUAGGGAUGUUGGUCCUACAGCUGCGGCAGAGGAGUCUGAGCAUACUUCUUCUGAGCUUCCUUCACAGGCGAUGGAGGUGGUGAAUGCUCUCGCGAGUGUUCAGGUUCCUGAGGCUGGGAUGGUGGAUGAGGCUACUGACAGGUCUGAUGCCGAGAGGGCGUCCAAAUAUGCUCGUAAGAAGGAAAGGAUGAUUUGUUACCGUUGUGGUGAGAAGGGCCACUUCAUUGCUGAGUGUGUGGCCUAGCUGUGUGAGUCAUGUGGCAAGCUUGCACAUGACUCGGGGGAGUUCCCGUUAUUGCGUGACCUGCCUCCGACGCUGAAUAUUUAUGGAGUAUACUGUGCUGCGCUUAUGUUUUUUGAGUCCCCGGCGGCGAGAGAGGUCCCGGAGGAUACCCUGAGUUUGGCUACCGGGAUUGUGAGGGCGACCCAGGGCGAGGUGACUGAGGCACAGAUUGUGAGGAGGCUUCAGGAGCUGGCUCCCGGGGAUUUUAGAUGGGAUUUGGUGCUCAUCGAGGACAGGGUUUUUAAAGUUGAUUUCCCAUCUGUUGAUGACCUGCAGAGAUUAUUGAGCUUUGGCUUGUGUAAAGUUCCAGGGACUAAGUGUAUCCUGGAGUUCAACAAGUGGAAGCAGGUUGAGCCCAAAGGAAAGCCACUUACGCAGGUCUGGUUGCGGUUUAUAGGGGCUCCAUCUAAGCCUCUGCAGGAUGCUCGAGUGGUGGCCAGUUUAGGCAUCAUGGUUGGAAAGACAGAAAAAGUGGAUAUGGCUUUCACGCGUGCCCAUGGGGUUGCACGGCUUUUAGUUAGCGUUCUGGAUAUUGAGUUUGUGCCUGAUAAGGUCAACUGGACCUAUAAGGGAGAGGUGUUCCCGCUAGAGACCGAGUUUGAGGACACCGAUUUAUUUGCUGAUGCUGUUAAUGGUAAUGAUGUUGACAUGCACGACAGGGAUGGUAAUGCGGGGGCCAAGGGGCCACCAUCAGAUGAGCCCAAUCGAGAGGGGUCUAACGGUUCUCACCCACCUUCUCAGUCGCCUGGGGAGGGGACCGGGGUUGAGCCCGCAGCUUCACCAGCGGUGCCCAUGACUACUUUGCGUUUUGGGUCUUUUGAGCCAGCCUCGGCACCUCCCAGACUCUGGAGUGACCAGGUUGAGUCUGGUAAUUGUCUUGAGCACACGCUCCCUUCGUUGGAGUUCGAGGGGGAGGCUGGUUUGUCCGCUGGACGACAUGUGAGGACUUUGGUCGGCGCUAUGGAGAGGAGGCCGGAGGGUGCUUCUCUUGUUCUGGCGCCUCACGCGGACGCGACUGCAGAGUCGGCGACUGCAGUCGCGUUGGGUUGUGGGGGAGGGGGUUCGGGGCAGGUGGCCCCGUCUUCUCCCGUCCCCAUAACGAUCCCGGUGGCGUCGGUGACGCCGGCCCCGAGGGGGUCGGACGGUGCUGCGAGAGGGAGCCCGAGGCAGGAGGCCUCGGCUCCUGCUACUCCGUUGGUGGUAACCACGGAGGUUGCUGCUGCGUUAGGGGGGACGCCGGGGCAGGAGGCCCUGUCUCCUCCCUCUCCACCGACGGUCAGGAGGACCACCCCGCCGAUGGCUCUUUCGUCUGAGCCGGCGGCUGGGGUGGGAGGAGGGUGCGGGCAGGUGGUCCCCACUACACCCUCCUCGACACUACCUUUGGCAGGGGCCCCUGGUGUGGGGCACCUGUCUCAGGGGAUCGGGAACCCGCAGACGCCAUCUCUGGUAACUUCGGCACCACCUUUCAGGGAUUCAGUGCCAGGUUUUACUAGGGAGGAGGUUGUCGCGUUUGGUGGGAUCCCGGACCAUAUCUCCGAGGGGAGACGGAUGAGUGCUCGCAUCCUGGACAUCCCUGAGGUGGACGAUAUGCAGCAGCGGUGCACUAUGAGGGCGGCCAAGCUUUAGGAUGCUGCUUUAUCUUCUGGUAUGUCCGUCAACCUAUCUAAUUCCUUAUUGCAUUUUUCUAAUGAGGACAUUAUAAAUAAUGCAAACCAAUUAGGAGUUUCACUAGGUGCUACGGAUAGUGAGGUUACCAAUUCGAUGAAUGAUCUGUUAGAUUUGGAGGCGGAACGUGCUUUAGAGACUAUUCAUAAUCUUGCAGCAGUUAAACCAAUGAAUGAUGAUGAGAUUAAUGCGUUAGGGGUUAGAGUGCUCGAUAAUCUGUGUGAGGAUCUAGCACCCCCCAUUCAUGACGCUGAGGAAGAUGAUGCACCCCUAGAGAAUGAUGCUAGUCAUAUUUGUGAACCCGGUCAUGAGGACCGGGACACUGAGCUUAGUAAACCUAAGCGUAAGUGGAAACGGAAGAUUUAUCCCGAUUCCGCAGUUCGUAGGAGUGCUAGGAUUCGAACCACUAAAAAAUUCCAUGAUGAAAUAUGAGAGGAAUUUUUUGGAAUAGCAGAGGUCUGAAGGACUUGGCUAAAAGAAGAUUCUUGGAUGAGGCAGCUUUAGAGCAGAGGUUAGAUUUUAUUGCUCUAUCGGAGACGGGUAGAGAUAACUUCGCACCACAGUUUCUGUCCUCUCUUGUGGGUGGUAUUGAUUUCGAUUGGUACUGCCUCCCUCCACGAGGAAGAUCGGGUGGUAUCUUACUAGGUGUGAGAUGCGAUUCGCUUGAAGUCCGAAGUGUAGUGAUGGGUGACUUCACGGUGAAGUUUCGAGUUAGGUCUAGGAUAGAUGGUUUUAACUGGGCUUUGGUGGCGGUCUAUGGUGCCGCACAGCCCGAGCUUAAAGGGGAAUUUCUAGCGGACCUUGUUCGAAUCUGUGGGUCUGAACAACUGCCAAUUUUAGUUGGAGGUGAUUUCAAUAUCAUCAGGAGGAGAGAGGAGAAGAACAAUGAUAACUUUGAUGGCAGAUGGUCUUUCAUGUUCAACACCAUUACUGAAAGCUUGGAUCUGAGAGAGAUAGAGCUUUCUGGUCGAAAGUUUACCUGGGCUAAUGCUCUGCCAAACCCAACCUAUGAAAAACUUGAUCGAGUUCUUGCGAGCGUGGAGUGGGAACAAAAGUUCCCUCUGGUUACGGUGCAAGCUCUUUCGAGGGGAAUAUCUGAUCAUACCCCAUUGUUUGUGGACUCAGGGGAGCCGAACCACGUGGGUAACAAGAACACAUUCUCCUUCGAGAUGUCAUGGUUUGAACGCGAGGGGUUCUUGGACUUGAUUGCCAGGGAAUGGGUUAAAGGUGUAGGAGGCAAAACUGCGAUUGAGCGUUGGCAGAAUAAGAUUAGGCAUUUGAGAAGCUUCUUACGGGGCUGGGCUAAGCACCUCAGUGGUGAGUAUAAGAUUGAAAAGGAUAGACUCCUUAUUCUUAUACAGGACCUGGACAUACAGGCCGAAUCCCAUACUUUAUCACCAGAGCUUUAGGUUAAAAAUGAGGCGGAGAAGAGGUUAAAAGAAUUGCUCUGCGAAGAAGAACUGAAGUGGGCUUUGCGUGCUAAAGUCCGAAAAGUGGUCCAGGGGGAUGCGAAUACUCAGUUCUUCCAUUUGAUUGCUAAUGGCAAACACAGAAAGAAGUGUAUCUUUCAGCUUGAGCAAGACGAGGGCACUAUUUUAGGUCAGGAUAACCUAAAAACAUAUAUUACCGACUAUUAUAAGUAGUUAUUUGGACCUCCGGAGGAUAAUAGUGUGUCCCUCGAUGAGUCCAGGACUGAGGAUGUACCUCAGUUAUCGGCUGCCGAUAAUGAUAUUCUGGUUGCCCCGUUCUCGGAGAAGGAGGUGUUUGAUGCCAUUACACAGAUGAAAAACAAUAAGGCUCCUGGACCGGAUGGAUUCCCGGCAGAGUUCUAUAAAAAGUGCUGGCACAUUAUUAAGGGGGAUUUACUACCUAUGUUCCAUGAUCUGUUCUCUGGACAGCUUCAAUUAUUUCAAUUGAAUUUUGGGACUAUCACACUGCUUCCUAAGAAGACAGAUGCGGUGAGAAUUGAGCAAUUCAGGCCGAUCUGUCUCCUCAAUGUUAGUUUCAAAAUUUUCACCAAGGUCGGGACUAACAGACUCACACAGAUUGCGCAUUCUGUGGUGCAACAGUCCCAAACCGCUUUCAUGCCGGACAGAAAUAUCCUUGAAGUGGUGGUAGUCCUGCAUGAAACGCUCCAUGAAAUUCAUUCCAAAAAAUUAGAUGGAGUGAUUUUUAAGUGGAUUUCGAGAAAGCGUAUGAUAAGGUCAAAUGGCCAUUCCUCCAACAGUCAUUGCGUAUGAAAGGUUUUGAUGAAGCCUGGCGCCGACAGGUUGAAUCAUUUACGCAAAAAGGUAGUGUGGGAAUUAGAGUUAACGAUGACAUAGGUCACUAUUUCCAGACACAUAAAGGCCUAAGACAAGGAGAUCCGAUGUCCCCUAUCUUGUUUAACAUUGUGGUGGAUAUGUUAGCAAUUUUGAUAGGAAGGGCUAAGGAAAGUGGUCAAGUCGGUGGAUUGGUACCUCAUCUUAUUGAUGGAGGUGUUUCCAUCCUUCAGUACGCUGAUGAUACGAUCAUCUUUAUGGAGCAUGACUUGGCCAGGGCGAGAAAUAUGAAGCUGGUGUUAUGCCUAUUUGAACAAUUGACCGGGUUAAAGAUCAACUUUCAUAAGAGCGAGCUGUUCUGUUUUGGUAGGGCGAAAGAUGAACAGGAGGCUUAUAGGCAAUUGUUUGGAUGUGAGUUGGGAGAGUUACCCUUCUCUUACUUGGGGAUUCCUAUCCACCAUCGUAGGCUGACAAACAGAGAAUGGAAGUGCAUCGAGGACCGAUUUGAGAAGAAAAUGAGCUGCUGGAAGGGUAAACUCAUGUCAUACGGAGGCCGAUUAAUCCUAAUUAAUUCGGUGCUCACGAGUAUGCCAAUGUUUCUUCUAUCGUUCUUUGAGGUACCAGUUGGGGUUAGGAAGAGACUGGACUUCUAUCGAUCGCGCUUCUUUUGGUAGGGUGAUGAGCUUAAAAGAAAAUAUCGGCUUGCUAAAUGGGAUAUCAUUUGUAGACCGAAAGACCAAGGGGGUCUCGGGAUUGAGAAUCUCGAAGUUAAGAAUGAAUGUCUUCUUAGCAAGUGGCUGUGGAAGCUCUCUUCGGAGAAUGAUGCUAUGUGGGCUCAAAUCCUUCGCAGCAAGUACCUCCAGACAAAAACUUUGUCCCAGGUUACAGUCCGGCCGACUGACUCGCCCUUCUGGAAAGGCCUUAUGAAAGUCAAACAGGCAUUGUUUAAUAGGAUGAAUUUUUUUAUUGGAAACGGCACGAGUACAUGUUUCUGGGAGGAUACUUGGCUCGGUGAGACACCCUUGGCCAUCCAAUACCCGUCUUUGUACCGCAUCGUUCAACGACGUGAGGUGUUCGUUGCAUCGGUCUUUCAAUCUACCCCCCUUAAUAUUCAGUUCCGUCGAUCGCUAGCGGGCAAUCGUUGGGAAGAAUGGCUCCGUCUAGUUACGAGACUGAUGGAAGUCCAGCUUUCUCAACAACCCGAUGAAUUAUGCUGGAAGUUGACUAAGUCUGGAGCAUUUACGGUAAAAUCAAUGUAUAUUGAUGUUAUUAAUUCGAACUCCAUUCCUACGUCCAAGCAUGUUUGGGAUGUCAAAGUUCCUCUGAAAAUAAAAGUGUUUAUGUGGUUUGUCCAUAAACAAGUUAUUUUAACUAAGGACAACUUGAUAAAGCGUAAUUGGACAUGACCUACUAGGUGUAGUUUCUGCGAUCGGGAUGAGACUAUCAAACACCUCUUUUUUGAUUGCCUGCUGGCCAAGGUACUUUGGCAGACGGUCCACAUUGCUUUUAAUAUCAACCCACCGAAUUCUGUUAAUGCGUUAUUUGGGACAUGGCUUAAUGGGAUUGAGCCUGACUUAGCGAGACAUAUUCGGGUUGGAGUUUGUGCUUUACUGUGGACUAUCUGGAAUUGCAGAAAUGAUUUGGUCUUUAACAGAAUAUCAUGUAUACAUUUUUUGCAGGUUCUAUUCCCAGCUACGACACUGAUCCGUUCGUGGUCGCUACUAACCCAGACGGAGGCCAGGGAGCAUUUGGUUACUGGGUCUUUCCGCUGGGAGAUGGUAGCUCGGGAUAUCUUCAACCGGUUUGGAUGGCGCUCAUGUAAUAGGAUAGGCAUUUAGUAUCCCUAUCUAGUUUUAGCCAGCCGGUUGUGGCAUCUUUUCUUGGCUAGUUGAUGUUUCUAGCCCUCUCUGGCUCUGUGUGAGCUUUUUGUGCUUUUUUAGUACUUUAUGAGACUUUUGGGACCAUGUUCGCACUACUUUAUUUGGUUAAUAAGAUGGCCGUAUGCAUCUUUCUGAUGCAGAGGUCGGGGAAUCCCCCUUUUCAAAAAAAUUGCUACAUAACUCCGGCCGGUAGAUCUCAUGGUGAAUCUAUCUCUAACUUGUGAUGCGCUGCGCUGCAGGGAGGUUCGUAAAGGAUAACAUCGUCCUGACUGUGUGCAUUGGCUUCAUCGUCACGGCGGCGAUCGUCAGGCUGGUAGUUCAUGUCUGCUGCUGCUGUUGCUGCUGCUGACUGGCUCGGGAAUGCUGCUGGUGCACCAGGUAUGUACUAUGUACUACCUAGGUUUCCGCCUGGUUGUUGAGAAAUAUACAUCCGCAAUCUUAACACAACUAUCUUCAUCUCCAGCGGCGGAAGGGAAGCCAUGAUCUGACCGGGUUAAGAAGGAAGAAGACCGAAUAAAAGCAAGGAGCCAUCUACAGGACAUGAGAGGGCGCUGGCUGGCUCGGGCGUUACCAACUUCCUGCACGAGCACAUAGCUAGCUAGGGUCGUGUUCCCGUUCCUAUUAAUUUGGAUGCUUGGUACUCCAUUUUACUACUGCUCUGUUCCGUGAUCUCCCACUAAUCUUCUUCGUGAUUGUGGAGCCCGGUCGUUUGGCGUGAUCCUAUGUGUGUGUGGAAACCUAAUGCUGAUCUUUAUAAGAUCUUUAGCAGAUGUUGAUCUCUUCUCUGUAGUUGCCUACCUAGCUAGCUAGCUC
Molecule: long non-coding RNA, 63619 nt
Filed under: Triticum aestivum (bread wheat)
Lineage: Eukaryota; Viridiplantae; Streptophyta; Magnoliopsida; Poales; Poaceae
Description: long non-coding RNA (TAES_LNC022887)
Source: RNAcentral